This 51613-nucleotide long non-coding RNA is filed under the name Brassica napus (rape). RNAcentral describes it as "long non-coding RNA (BNAP_LNC018023)". Lineage: Eukaryota; Viridiplantae; Streptophyta; Magnoliopsida; Brassicales; Brassicaceae. The record is from RNAcentral.
UAUAAUUUUUACCUUUUUUUUAAAAAAUAUAAUAACUGGUUAAUCAAAACUCUAACUUUUAAAAUGUUUACUGAAUCAAAUCGAACUAAUUCUAAAUUUUAAUAAAACUAAAUUUAAAUCAGACAUGAAUCAAAAUUUUCAGUAAUUUUUUUAAAAGCUAAACUAACCGAAUAUCAAACCAAGUUUUAUUUUAGAUUGAUUCGGUAAAAUUUAUGUUCAACCGAACUUGCUUAUCCAACUUUCAGAUUAAAUCUGAGCAUUUGGAUUUUCGAGUCGGAUUCGGUCGGGUUUGAGUUGGGUCUUGUCGGGUUUUUUGGAACCAGAUCCGAUAAGAUAUUUAAAAUUUAUCGGUUCAGAUUCUAUCGGGUCCGGUUUCGGUUUGGCUCCGGUCAUUUCGGGUCCGAGUAAAAUGCAAGGCCUACUUCAGACCUAAUUGACUCAAACAGAGUCGGGUCGGGUCGUCAUCCAAAUCCUUUUAACAGCAAACCCUAAUUGCCGCCGAUAUCUCCCUUAACCCUUCUCUUCUAAACCUUCUCAAGCUUCGCUCUCAGAGAUGGCGAAGUGUGGUAAAAGUAAGCUAAAAUCCCUCAAUUGAUUCUGGAAUUUUCUCUCUAGGUCUUUUUAUUGAGUUGUUUGAUGCUGUGAUCGUCCUUUUUGUAGAGAGCAAGAGUAAGAGGGUGACCUUGAAGCAGAAGAACAAGGUCCUUAGAAAGGUGAAGGAGCACCACAAGAAGAAGGCAAAGGAGGCUAAGAAGCUCGGCCUUAACCGCAAGCCGAGAGCAGAGAAGGACCCAGGUAUCCCCAAUGACUGGCCUUACAAGGAACAAGAGCUUAAGGCCUUAGAAGCUCGACGCGCCAGUGCUGUGGAGGUGAUUGAACAGAAGAAAGAGGCCCACAAAGAAAAGGUAUCAAACUUUGUUUUGAUUUAUUGUGAAAGCUUGAGUUUUUUUGGUUAAAGACAUGUUCUUUUUUUGUGUCUUGCUGUUUGGUUUUCUUGUAAUAAUUAAUUGUAAAGUGAUGUUUGUGUUCUGAUCUCUCUUACUAAGGCUAAAAAGAGGAAGCUUGAGGAUGAGGAGACCAAGAGUGGAGAUGACUCAACUAGACUUGUCAAUGUUCGAGGUGAAAUUUUAUUGUGCUUUUUGAUUUUAUAUUUAAGUGAUUUUAGUCUACCUUUGUAACAUAUGUUUAUUUGUUUCACAGAUAACUCGGAGAGGGCUUUCUACAAGGAGCUUGUGAAAGUCAUUGAACUAUCCGACGUCAUUCUCGAGGUUCUCGAUGCUCGUGAUCCCCUCGGCACGCGUUGUACCGACAUGGAGAGGAUGGUGAUGCAAGCUGGUCCCAAUAAGCACCUAGUGUUGCUUCUCAACAAGAUUGGUAAAGCUUUUUCUAUAGAAGCUCUCUGCUCUCGUGCUGUUGUUGUCAAUCAUUAGACUCAUAGUCUCUCUUUGUACUACAGAUCUUGUUCCUCGAGAGGCUGCUGAGAAAUGGCUUAAGUACCUUAGGGAAGAGUUUCCAGCUGUUGCCUUCAAAUGUAGCACCCAGGAACAGAGAUCAAACUUGGGUUGGAAGUCUUCUAAGGCGUCGAAACCAAGUAAUCUUUUGCAGACGAGUGAUUGUCUUGGAGCAGACACUCUUAUCAAAUUGCUGAAAAACUACUCGAGAAGUCAUGAGGUUGCUUUCUCAUAAUUUGCUUUCAAUGAGUUGCAUCAUCCAGUUUUGGAUUAAUCUUUCUCUGUUGUUUCGUGUUUCGGCAGUUGAAAAAAUCUAUUACAGUUGGUAUUAUUGGACUACCCAACGUAGGGAAGAGUAGUCUUAUCAACAGUUUGAAGAGAGCUCACGUUGUCAACGUCGGCGCCACUCCUGGACUAACCAGGUCUCUCCAAGAGGUUCACUUGGACAAAAACGUGAAGCUGCUGGAUUGUCCUGGAGUUGUGAUGCUCAAAUCUUCAGCGAAUGAUGCUUCUAUAGCUCUCCGCAAUUGUAAAAGAAUCGAGAAGUUGGAAGAUCCAGUUAGUCCAGGUAAAUUGGAAACUAUGCUAAUUAAUGAUUGAAUAUAUUCAAAUUAAUCUCAGUGAUCUAACUGUGAAACCUUGUUGGGGAAUCUAGUGAAGGAGAUACUCAAGCUUUGUUCACCACAACUGCUGGUGACUCUGUACAAGAUCCAGAGCUUCGAGGCGGUUGAUGACUUUCUUUAUAAAGUGGCUACUGUAAGGGGGAAGCUUAAGAAGGGUGGUCUUGUGGAUAUCGAAGCUGCUGCGAGGAUUGUGUUGCAUGACUGGAAUGAAGGUGAGGUCAUUAUUGUCUUUUAGUUCAGUCAUAAAACAUGGAAUCUUGAAAACUUAUUAAUUGUGUGCAGGUAAGAUUCCGUUCUAUACAAUGCCGCCAAAGAGGGACCAAGGUGAACACGCAGAGUCAAAGAUUGUGACGGAGUUGGCUAAGGAGUUCAACAUUGAUGAGGUUUACAGUGGUGAGUCCUCUUUCAUUGGGAGUUUGAAGACUGUUAGCGACUUCAACCCUGUUGAGAUUCCUUCCAGUGGUCCUCUCAGUUUCGAUGAAACUAUGAUCGAGGUUGGUUUGGUUGGUUAAUAGAUUAUCUCGUGAUUCCAUUUACUUGGUAUGGUUUAACAUUUGUUACUUAUCACAGGAUGGGUCUAAGACUCAGACCAAAGAAGAAGAGGCUGGUCUUGACAAUGAUGGUGAUGAGUCUAUGGGAGGGGAAGAGGAGGAAGAAGAAAUAGGAAAGUUGAAGUCCGAGGCGAGCAGGCAGAACAGGAAGCUAUACGCAGCUGAGAGCAUGCUUAACACAAAGAGGCAGAAAGCAGAGAAGAAGCAGAGGAAGAAGGCGAAGAAAGCAGCAGGUGGUGAGGAUCUUAUGGACGGAGAUUAUGAUUUCAAAGAAGAUUAUGGGAAGAAGAACAAAGAUACAGCCAUGGAUGAAGGAGAUGGUUUCCAAAUUGAUGCUAAAAUACCAAUGGCGGCACUUCUUGAUUUGCCUGAAGAAUGAGGGAGAGAUUAAACAAACAAUCGUUUUGUUCUUUGUGUUUAUUUAUGUGCUACUACUCAUACAUGUGUUUUGCUUCAUCAAGCGAUUUUGAUUCUACUGUACCGGUUUUUUUUUGAUCCAUCAGUUAUGUUAGUUUAUCAAAUCUAUUACAAUAAAGUUGACAACUUUCACUUUCUAUGAAGCCACCUCAAAGAAGAAGGUUCCUCCUUUGGAAACAGAAGAUACGUGUCCUCCAUUCUAUUGUAAAUUGAAGUUUGACAAAUUAUGUUCGAUCAUGACUUCAUAUGGAGGCAUGUUUCUUUUAAUUGAAUAUGUGACAUAAUUUUCAGUCCAAUAAGAUAUUACCGCUUCGUGCUCUGUCUUCGUCCCUUCUUAAUUGCGAACCUGAGAAAUAAAAAUAUCCACCUAAACCGUGAAUGUGUAAAGUUAUAGAAUUUAAUGUUGAAUUAAAUUGUCUGAGUAACUUCUUCCUCCAAUCAAAGCUACUCAUAACUUCAUCUCCUCUGUGACAUUUAAACGCUUCACCUCCAACCAAGCUCAGCAUAUAUACUCCCAUAAUCAUAAGCCUCCUCUACUUCCCAAUCAUGGGCGGAUGCAGAGAAUUUAUUUGUUGGGGGCAUAUGUAAAUUGGUCAAUGGAUUAGGACUAUAUUUGCUAAAAACAAUGGGGGCAUAUUAAAUUUAUUCAAUGAUUAACAUGAAAUUUUAAAAAGUUGUUGGGGGCAAAUGCCCCCCUCUCACACACCCCUCUCACACAACGUGGGUGAAUCAGCAGUUCUCCUCGCCUACUCUAUAGUUCUAGUCUGCAUUUCUCGGCCUGGUAUCCUACACCUCGCGUUAAUGAUAUCUAGGCGGAAGCCCCACGUACGGUUUUGAAGCCGAGAAUUCUGGCCACCUUAAGGCCAAGAAAGUAUUUUAGAGAACGCCCCGUAACACUCCUUCCGAUUCGAGAACACCUAAGCCUGUAAUUGACGGCUGGAAGGAGCUAUCCUACUCUGGCUACGCCACUGUUCCCAAUCAUCUCACUAUUAAGUAAUAACCAACUACAUACAUUGUUUACAGAGUAUAAAAUAUAGCUUCCAAGCUCCACCGCUCCGGCGAACUCAAUCUCCACAACCUCGGCGAAAUUCAAAACCGCCUCCAUGGAUACUAUUCCCGAAAACUCGACCAGAAAAAUCCCAACAAGUCCACCACCAAAGCUCCGGCGAAGUCCAACACCGGUUCCUUGGAUAAGAAAAAAGGAUUUACAGCUCCAGUGCUCUGCCAAAUAGCCGCAGCAUCUGCCAUCGUAUACAUAUUCUACCGUCUUCGCCAGUGGACUCCAACGUCUCUUCCCUCAAAGUUUGGUCACUUCGCCGGUAUAUUAGAUAUAAGAUGGUCACAAAGGCGUUCAGGUAUGCUGCAAUUUGUAAAUCGUUUAAUUGAUAUGAGCAAUAUAGAGUUUAAAUGCCAACUUUUCGAAACGAAGCGGAAUGUGCUACUUUGGCGUUUUCUGGUGGUCUUUCACGACAAGUCCAUCAAGAAAAUGACCAAACAAGGGCCAAAUGAUUGACCUGAAACCACUUGAUGUUCUCGAUAGUCUCUCUAAUACUGUUUAUCUUGACUGUUUAUUUGUUUCAAUAGUCUGAAAUCUUUUAAUGGUUUUUGCAGCUGGAUGCUCAUUUUGUGGAAUGUAGGCAGCACAUAGAUUAUGGUGAUGAAAUGUAUUAUAUACUCAAACAACAUCAAAGAAGCCAAGUAUAACAAAGGCAGUCAAGUAGUCAUCAUUGCCUUACCCGCUUAUUCCCUUCUUAACGAGCUUCUAUGCUAUAUCAAAUCCAGUUCCACCGGUUUGUUACAUAUUGAAAUACUGAAAUUCUUUCUAAUCAAAAUUUAUGUAACAUAAAAUCGCUAUUCUCUAGAUAAACGAAGAAAACAAAAGUUCCAAACCUCUUUGACGAUCAUCAUAUAUUAGUAUAGGAGGCAACUAUGCCUUAAAACAAUAUUGUUAUAUUUUUUUAAUUUUUCUCAAAAUCUAUGUGUUAACACUCUAUAUACUGAAACCUAAACUUUUUAUUGUUGCUUUAAAAUUUCUAACCAUAUUUUACAUUUGUAUUAAUGUAUUUUAAACUUUCUUUCAUGGUAUAAGAGAAUAAUUAUAAUUUUUUAUUAAUUAAUUUAGUAAAACUUCAUAAUACUCUCAAAAUCGGUGGAAUAACCACUAUAAAAUGGCUAUUUUCUUGAAAAACGGAGACAAUAAAAGCUCCAAACCUCUUUCAACAUCAUCAUAUGAUAGUGCAUGAUGCAACUAUGCAUUAAAAUAAUAUUGUCACAUUUUUUAAAAUUUUCUCAAAAUCUAUGUGUUACAAAAUAAUGAAUUUUGGUAAAUACUUUAUAUACUGAACCCUAUAAUCUUUAGUGUUUCUAACCACAUUCUACAUUUGUAUCAAUGUAUGCUAAACUCUCUUUCAUAAUACAUGAGUAUCAUUUAUUUUUUUAUAAAUUAAUUUAGUAAAAUUUCAUAGACUCCCUAACUUAGUGGACUAACCAUUAUAAAAUCGCUAUUCUCUAGAGAAAUGAAGACAACAAAGGUUUCAAACCUUUUAGACCAUCACUGUAUAUUAGUACAUGAGGCAACUAUGCAUUAAAGCAAUAUUGUUAUAUUUUUUGAAUUUUUCUCAAAAUCUAUUUGUUAACCCCUACGAAAAUAUUGAGUUUUACGUUAAACGCUAUAUAUACUAAGCUUAAAGUUUUUAGUAUUGUUUUAAAAUUUCUAAAAAAAAUUCUAAAUUUGUAUUAACGUAUGUUAAACUCUCUUUCAUGGUAAAUGAGAAUCGUUAUAAUUUUUUAUCAAUUAAUUUAGUAAAACUUCAUAAUACUCCUUAAAUCGGUGGAAUAACCACUAUAAAAUCAUUAUUUUCUUGAAAAAUGGAGACAACAAAGGCUCCAAACCUAUUUCUAUAUCAUCGUAUGUUAGUGCAGGAUGAAACUAUGCAUUGAAACAAUAUUGUCAUAUUUUUUAAAAUUUUCUCAAAAUCUAUGUCCCCUACAAAAAUAUUGAGUUUUGGUAAAUGUUUAAUAUACUAAACCAUAUAAUCUUUAGUACUAUUUCAAAAUUUCUAACCACAUUCUAUAUUUAUAUUAAUGUAUGCUAAACUCUCUUUCAUUGUACAUGAGCAUCGUUAAAUUUUUUUAUAAACUAAUUUAGUAAAAUUUCAUAUACUCCCUAAAUUAGUGGACUAACCAUUAUAAAAUCGCUAUUCUCUAGAGAAAUGAAGACAACAAUGGUUCCAAACCUCUUUGACCAUCACCAUAUAUUAGUACAGGAGACAAGUAUCCAUUAAACCAAUAUUGUUAUAUUUUUUUAUUUUUUCUCAAAAUCUAUGUGUUAACCCGACGAAAUUAUUGAGUUUUACGUGGAACGCUCUAUAUACUGAAGCCUAAACAUUUUAGUGUUGUUUUAAAAUUUCUAACCACACUCUACAUUUGUAUUAAUGUAUCUUAAACUCUAUUUCAUGGUAUAUAGGAAUCAUUUUAUUUUUUUUAUCAAUUAAUUUAGUAAAACUUCAUUAUACUCCCUAAAUCGGUGGAAUAAUCACUAUAAAGUCGUUAUUUUCUUGAAAAACAGAGACAACAAAAGCUCCAAACCUAUUUCAACAUCAUCAUAUGUUAGUGCAUGAUGCAACUAUGCAUUAAAACAAUAGUCAUAUUUUUUGAAAUUUCUCAAAAUCUAUGUGUUAACCCCUACAAAAAUAUUGAAUUUUGGUAAAUGCUUUAUAUACUAAACCAUAUAAUAUUUAGUAUUGUUUUAAAUUUUCUAACCACAUUCUAAAUUUGUAUUACUGUAUGCUAAACUCUCUUUCAUGGUACAUUCGCCUCGUUGAAUUUUUUUAUAAAUUAAUUUAGUAAAAUUUCAUAAACUCUCUAAAUUAGUGGACUAACCAUAAUAAAAUCGUUAUUCUCUAGAGAAAUGAAGACAACAAAGGUUUCAAACCUCUUUGACCAUCACCAUAUAUUAGUACAUGAGGCAACUAUGCAUUAAAGCAACAUUGUUAUACUUUUUGAAUUUUUCUCAAAAUCUAUGUGUUAACCCCCUACAAAAAUGUUGAGUUUUAUGUUAAACGCUCUAUAUACAGAAGCCUAAACAUUUUUCGUGUUUUUUUAAACCACAUUCUACAUUUGUAUUAAUGUAUUUUAAACUCUCUUUCAUGGUAUAUGAAAAUCGUUAUAAUUUUUUAUCAAUUAAUUUAAUAAAACUUCAUAAUACUCCAUAAAUCGGUGGAGCAACCACUACAAAAUCGCUAUUUAAACAAAAAUGGAGACAACAAAGGCUCUAAAUCUCUUUCAACAUCAUCAUAUAUUACUGUAGGAUGCAACUAUGCAUUAAAACAAUAUUGUCAUAUUUUUUAAAUUUUUCUCAAAAUCUAUGUGUUGUUUUACAUUAAACGCUCUAUAUACUGAAACCUAAACUUUUUAGUGUUGUUUUAAAAUUUUUAACCAUAUUCUACAUUUGUAUUAAUGUAUUUUAAACUCUGUUUCAUGGUAUAUGAGAAUUAUUAUAAUUUUUUAUUAAUUAAUUUAGUAAAACUUCAUUAUACUCCCUAAAUCGGUGGAAUAAUCACUAUAAAGUCGUUAUUUUCUUGAAAAACAGAGACAACAAAAGCUCCAAACCUAUUUCAACAUCAUCAUAUGUUAGUGCAUGAUGCAACUAUGUAAAAACAAAGACAACAAAGGCUUCAAACCUCUUUCAGCAUCAUCAUAUGUUAGUGCAUGAUGCAACUAUGCAUUAAAACAAUAUUUUCAUACUUUUUGAAAUUUUAUCAAAAUCAAUGUGUUAACACCCUUACAAAAAUAUUGAAUUUUGGUAAAUUCUUUAUAUACUGAAGCCUAUAAAUUUUAGUGAUGUUUUAAAAUUUCUAACUAGAUUCUACAUUUGUAUUAAGGUAUACUAAACUCUCUUUCAUGGUAAAUGAGCAUCGUUCAUUUUUUUUAAUAAAAUAAUAUACUAAAAUCUCAUAUACUCCCUAAAUUAGUGGACUAACCAAUAUACAAUCACUAUUCUCUAAAGAAAUGGAGACAACAAAUGAUCCAAACCUCUUUGACCAUCAUCAUAUAUUAGUACAUGAGGCAACUAUAAAUUAAAGCAAUAUUGUUAUAUUUUUUGAAAUUUUUUCAAAAUCUAUGUGUCUACGAAAAUAUUCAGUUUUACGUUAAAUGCUCUAUAUACUGAAACUUAUGUUGAGUUUUAUGUUAAACGCUCUAUAUACAGAAGCCUAAACAUUUUUCGUGUUUUUUUAAACCACAUUCUACAUUUGUAUUAAUGUAUUUUAAACUCUCUUUCAUGGUAUAUGAAAAUCGUUAUAAUUUUUUAUCAAUUAAUUUAAUAAAACUUUUUUAUGGUACACGAGAAUCGUUCAUAUUUUUAUCAUUUAAUUAGUAAAACUUCAUAAUACUAUCUAAAUCAGUGGAAUAACCACUACAAAAUCAAUAUUUACUUGAAAACCGGAGACAACAAAGGCUGUAGCCUCUUUCAACAUCAUAAUAUAUUAGUGUAGGAUGCAACUAUGCAUUAAAACAAUAUUGUCAUAUUUUUUGAAAUUUUCUCAAAAUCUAUGUGUUAACCCUUACAAAAAUAUUGAAUUUUGGUAAAUGAUUUAUAUACUGAACCAUAUAAUCUUUAGUGUUGUUUUAAAAUUUCAAACUACACUCUACAUUUGUAUUAAUGUAUUCUAAACUCUCUUUCAUGGUACACGAGCAUCGUUCAAUUUUUUAUAAAUUAAUUUAGUAAAAUUUCAUAUACUCCCUAAAUUAGGAAAUUAACCAUUAUAAAAUCACUAUUCUCUAGAGAAAUGAAGACAACAAAGGUUUCAAACCUCUUUGACCAUCACCAUAUAUUAGUACAUGAGGAAACUAUGCAUUAAAGCAAUAUUGUUAUAUUUUUUGAAUUAUUCCCAAAAUCUAUGUGUUGAGUUUUACGUUAAACGCUCAAUAUACUGAAGCACAAAGUUUUUAGUGUUGUUUUAAAUUUCUAACCACAUUCUACAUUUUUAUUAAUGUAUCUUAAAAUCUAUUUCAUAGUAUAUGGGAAUCGUUAUUAUUUUUUUAUCAAUUAAUUUAGUAAAACUUCGUAAUACUUCCUAAAUCGGUGGAAUAAUCACUAUAAAGUCAUUAUUUUCUUGAAAAAUGGAGACAACAAAGGCUCCAAACCUAUUUCAACAUCAUCAUAUGUUAGUGCAUAAUGCAACUAUGCAUUAAAACAAUAGUCAUAUUUUUUGAAAUUUUUCAAAAUCUAUGUGUUAACCUCUACAAAAAUAUUGAAUUUUUGUAAAUGCUUUAUAUACUGAACCAUAUAAUCUUUAGUAUUGUUUUAAAAUUAAUAAUCACAUUCUAAAUUUGUAUUACUGUAUGAUAAACUCUCUUUCAUGGUACAUGAGCAUCGUUAAUUUUUUUAUCAAUUAAUUUAGUAAAAUUUCAUAAACUCCCUAAAUUAGUGGACUAACCAUAAUAAAAUCGCUAUUCUCUAGAGAAAUGAAGACAACAAAGGUUUCAAACAUCUUUGACCAUCACCAUAUAUUAGUACAAGAGACAACUAUGCAUUAAAGCAACAUUGUUAUACUUUUUGAAUUUUUCUCAAAAUCUAUGUGUUAACCCCCUACAAAAAUGUUGAGUUUUACGUUAAACGCUCUAUAUACAGAAGCCUAAACAUUUUUCGUGUUUUUUUAAACCACAUUCUACAUUUGUAUUAAUGUAUUUUAAACUCUCUUUCAUGGUAUAUGAGAAUCGUUAUAAUAUUUUAUCAAUUAAUUUAAUAAAACUUCAUAAUACUCCAUAAAUCGGUGGAGCAACCACUACAAAAUCGCUAUUUAAAAAACAAAACGGAGACAACAAAGACUCUAAACCUCUUUCAACAUCAUCAUAUAUUAGUGUAGGAUGCAACUAUGCAUUAAAACAAUAUUGUCAUAUUUUUUGAAUUUUUCUCAAAAUCUAUAUGUUCUUUUACAUUAAACGCUCUAUAUACUGAAACCUAAACUUUUUAGUGUUGUUUUAAAAUUUUUAACCAUAUUCUACAUUUGUAUUAAUGUAUUUUAAACUCUCUUUCAUGGUAUAUGAGAAUCAUUAUAAUUUUUUAUUAAUUAAUUUAGUAAAACUUAGUAAUACUCCCAAAAUCGAUGGAAUAACCACUAUAAAAUGACUAUUUUUAAAAGAAACGGAGACAACAAAGGCUCCAAACCUCUUUCAACAUCAUCAUAUGUUAGUGCAUGAUGCAACUAUGCAUUAAAACAAUAUUGUCAUACUUUUUGAAAUUUUAUCAAAAUCUAUGUGUUAACACCCUUACAAAAAUAUUGAAUUUUGGUAAAUGCUUUAUAUAUUGCCUAUAAAUUUUAGUGAUGUUUUAAAAUUUCUAACUAGAUUCUACAUUUGUAUUAAUGUAUGAUAAACUCUCUUUCAUGGUAAAUGAGCAUCGUUCAUUUUUUAAAAUAAAAUAAUAUAUUAAAAUUUCAUAUACUCCCUAAAUUAGUGGACUAACCAAUAUAAAAUCGCUGUUCUCUAAAGAAAUGGAGACAACAAAGGAUCCAAACCUCUUUGGCCAUCAUCAUAUAUUAGUACAUGAGGCAACUAUACAUUAAAGCAAUAUUGUUAUAUUUGUUGAAUUUUUUUUCAAAAUCUAUGUGUCUACGAAAAUAUUCAAUUUUACGUUAAAUGCUCUAUAUACUGAAACUUAUACUUUUUAUUGUUGUUCUAAAUUUUCUAACGACAUUCUAAAUUUGUAUUAAUGUAUGUUAAACUUUUUUUAUGGUAUACGGGAAUCGUUCAAAUGUUAUCAAUUAAUUAGUAAAACUUCAUAAUACUAUCUAAAUCAGUGGAAUAACCACUACAAAAUCAAUAUUUUCUUGAAAAACGGAGAAAGUAAAGGCUGUAAACCUCUUUCAACAUCAUAAUAUAUUAGUGUAGGAUGCAACUAUGCAUUAAAACAAUAUUGUCAUACUUUUUGAAAUUUUCUCAAAAUCUAUGUGUUAACCCCUACAAAAAUGUUGAAUUUUGGUAAAUGAUUUAUAUGCUGAACCCUAUAAUCUUUAGUGUUGUUUUAAAAUUUCUAACUACAUUCUACAUUUGUAUUAAUGUAUGCUAAACUAUCUUUCAUGGUACACGAGCUUCGUUCAAUUUUUUACAAAUUAAUUUAGUAAAAUUUCAUAUACUCCCUAAAUUAGGGGAUUAACUAUUAUAAAAUCAUUAUUCUCUAGAGAAAUGAAGACAACAAAGGUUUCAAACCUCUUUGACCUUCACCAUAUAUUAGUACAGGAGGCAACUAUGCAUUAAAGCUAUAUUGUUAUAUUUUUUGAAUUAUUCCCAAAAUCUAUGUGUUGAGUUUUACGUUAAACGCUCAAUAUACUGAAACACAAAUUUUUAGUGUUGUUUUAAAUUUCUAACCACAUUCUACAUUUUGAUUAAUGUAUCUUAAACUCUAUUUCAUGGUAUAUGGAAAUUGUUAUUAUUUUUUUUAUCAAUUAAUUUAGUAAAACUUCAUAAUACUCCCUAAAUCGGUGGAAUAAUCACUAUAAAGUCGUUAUUUUCUUGAAAAACGGAGACAACAAAUGCUCUAAACCUAUUUCAACAUUAUCAUAUGUUAGUGCAUGAUGCAACUAUGCAUUAAAACAAUAGUCAUAUUUUUUGAAAUUUCUCAAAAUCUAUGUGUUAAACUCUACAAAAAUAUUGAAUUUUGGUAAAUGCUUUAUAUACUGAACCAUAUAAUAUUUAGUAUUGUUUUAAAAUUUCUAACCACAUUUUAAUUUUGUAUUACUUUAUGCUAAACUCUCUUUCAUGAUACAUGAGGAUCGUUAUAUUUUUUUAUAAAUUAAUUUAGUAAAAUUUCAUAAACUCCCUAAAUUAGUGGAUUAACCAUAAUAAAAUCGCUAUUCUCUAGAGAAAUAAAGACAACAAAGGUUUCAAACCUCUUUGACCAUCACCAUAUAUUAGUACAUGAGGCAACUAUGCAUUAAAGCAACAUUGUUAUACUUUUUGAAUUUUUCUCAAAAUCUAUGUGUUAACCCCCUACAAAAAAGUUGCGUUUUACGUUGAACGCUCUAUAUACAGAAACCUAAACAUUUUUCAUGUUUUUUUAAACCACAUUCUACAUUUGUAUUAAUGUAUGUUAAACUCUCUUUCAUGGUAUAUGAGAAUCGUUAUAAUCUUUUAUCAAUUAAUUUAAUAAAACUUCAUAAUACUCCAUAAAUCGGUGGAGCAACCACUACAAAAUCGCUAUUUUAAAAAGAAAACGGAGACAACAAAGGCUCUAAACCUCUUUCAACAUCAUCAUAUAUUAGUGUAGGAUGCAAAUAUGCAUUAAAACAAUAUUGUCAUAUUUUUAAAAAAUUUCUCAAAAUCUAUGUGUUGUUUUACAUUAAACGCUCUAUAUACUGAAACCUAAAAUUUUUAGUGUUGUUUUAAAAUUUUUAACUAUAUUCUACAUUUGUAUUAAUGUAUUUUAAACCCUAUUUCAUGGUAUAUGAGAAUCAUUAUAAUUUUUUAUUAAUUAAUUUAGUAAAACUUAGUAAUACUCUCAAAAUCGGUGGAAUAACCACUAUAAAAUGGCUAUUUUCUUUAAAAACAGAGACAACAAAGGCUUCAAACCUCUUUCAACAUCAUCAUAUGUUAGUGCAGGAUGCAACUAUGCAUUAAAACAAUAUUGUCAUACUUUUUGAAAUUUUAUCAAAAUCUAUGUGUUAACACCCUUACAAAAAUAUUGAAUUUUGGUAAAUACUUUAUAUACUGAAGACUAUAAAUUUUAGUGAUGUUUUAAAAUUUCUAACUAGAGAAAUGAAGACAAAAAAUGUUUCAAAUGUCUUUGACCAUCAUAAUUUUUUAGUACGGGAGGCAACUAUGCAUUAAAGGAAUAUUGAUAUAUUUUUUGAGUUUUUCUCAAAAUCUAUGUGUUAUGUGUUAAUCACUACAAAAAUGUUGACUUUUGGUAAAUACUUUAUAUACUGAACCGUAUAAUCUUUAGUAUUGUUUUAAAAUUUAUAACUACAUUCUACAUUUGUAUUAAUGUAUGCUUAACUCUCUUUUAUGGUACAUGAGCAUCGUUCAAUUUUUUUAUAAAUUAAUUUAGUAAAAUUUCAUAUACUCCCUAAAUUAGCGGACUAACCAUUAUAAAAUCGCUAUUUUCUAGAGAAAUGAAGACAAGAAAGGUUCCAAACCUCUUUGUACAUCCCCAUAUAUUAGUACAUGAGGCAACUAUGCAUUAAAAAAAUAUUGUUAUAUUUUCGAAUUUUUCUCAAAAUCUAUUUGUUAACCCCUACGAAAAUAUUUAAAUUUACGUUAAACGCUCUAUAUAUUGAAGCCUAAAUUUUUUAGUGUUGUUUUAAAAAAUUUAACCACAUUCUACAUUUGUAUUAAUGUAUGUUAAACUCUCUUUCAUGGUAAAUGGAAAUCAUUAUAAUUUGUUAUCAAUUAAUUUAGUGAAACUUUAUAAUACUCCCUAAAUCGGUAGAAUAACGACUAUAAAAUCGAUAUUCUCUAAAGAAAUGGAGACAACAAAGGUCUCAGACCUUUUUAACCAUCAUCAUAUUAUUAAAGCAAUAUUAUUAUAUUUUUUGAAUUUUUUUCAAAAUCUAUGUGUACGAAAAUAUUAAGUUUUACGUUAAACGCUCUAUAUACCGAAACUUAUAUUUUUUAUUCUUGUUCUAAAUUUUCUAACGACAUUCUAAAUUUGUAUUAAUGUAUGUUAAACUCUCUUUUAUUAUAUAUAGGAAUCGUUCUAAUUUUUUAUCAAUUAAUUAGUAAAACUUCAUAAUACUAUCUAAAUCAGUGGAAUAACCACUACAAAAUCGUUAGUUUCUUGAAAAACGGAGAGAACAAAGGCUCUAAACCUCUUUUAACAUCAUCAUAUAUUAGUGUAGGAUGCAACUAUGCAUUAAAACAAUAUUGUCAUAUUUUUUGAAAUUUUCUCAAAAUUUAUGUGUUAACCUCUACAAAAAUAUUGAAUUUUGGUAAAUGCUUUAUAUACGGAACCCUAUAAUCUUUGGUGUUGUUUUAAAAUUUCUAACCACAUUCUACAUUCGUUUUAAUGUAUGCUAAACUCUCUUUCAUGGUACAUGAACAUCGUUCAAAUUUUUUUAAAAUUAAUUUAGUAAAAUUUCAUAUUCUCCCUAAAUUAAUGGAAUAGCCGUUAUAAAAUCGCUAUUUUCUAGAGAAAUGGAGACAACAAAGGUUCUAAACCUCUUUGACCAUCACCAUAUAUUAGUACAUGAGGCAACUAUGCAUUAAAGCAAUAUUGUUAUAUUUUUUGAAAUUUUCUCAAAAUCUAUGUGUUAACCCUUACGAAAAUAUUGAGUUUUAUGUUAAACGCUCUAUAUACUGAAACCUAAACUUUUUCGUGAAAUACUGCAAGUCCAACACCGGUUCCUUGGAUAAGAAAAAAGGAUUUGCAGCUCCAAAAAGCCGCAGCAUCCGCCAUCGUAUACAUAUUCUAGUGUCCUCGCCAGUGGACUCCAACGUCUCUUCCCUCAAAGUUUGGUCACUUCGCCGAUAUAUUAGAUAUAUGAUGGCCACAAAGGCGUUCAGGUAUGCGUUUGUAAAUCCUUUAAUUGAUAUGAGCAAUAGAGAGUUUAAAGGCCAACUUUUCGAAACGAAGCGGAAGGUGGUACUUCGGCUUAGUUUCUUGAAAAACGGAGAGAACAAAGGCUCUAAACCUCUUUUAACAUCAUCAUAUAUUAGUGUAGGAUGCAACUAUGCAUUAAAACAAUAUUGUCAUAUUUUUUGAAAUUUUCUCAAAAUUUAUGUGUUAACCUCUACAAAAAUAUUGAAUUUUGGUAAAUGCUUUAUAUACGGAACCCUAUAAUCUUUGGUGUUGUUUUAAAAUUUCUAACCACAUUCUACAUUCGUUUUAAUGUAUGCUAAACUCUCUUUCAUGGUACAUGAACAUCGUUCAAAUUUUUUUAAAAUUAAUUUAGUAAAAUUUCAUAUUCUCCCUAAAUUAAUGGAAUAGCCGUUAUAAAAUCGCUAUUUUCUAGAGAAAUGGAGACAACAAAGGUUCUAAACCUCUUUGACCAUCACCAUAUAUUAGUACAUGAGGCAACUAUGCAUUAAAGCAAUAUUGUUAUAUUUUUUGAAAUUUUCUCAAAAUCUAUGUGUUAACCCUUACGAAAAUAUUGAGUUUUAUGUUAAACGCUCUAUAUACUGAAACCUAAACUUUUUCGUGAAAUACUGCAAGUCCAACACCGGUUCCUUGGAUAAGAAAAAAGGAUUUGCAGCUCCAAAAAGCCGCAGCAUCCGCCAUCGUAUACAUAUUCUAGUGUCCUCGCCAGUGGACUCCAACGUCUCUUCCCUCAAAGUUUGGUCACUUCGCCGAUAUAUUAGAUAUAUGAUGGCCACAAAGGCGUUCAGGUAUGCGUUUGUAAAUCCUUUAAUUGAUAUGAGCAAUAGAGAGUUUAAAGGCCAACUUUUCGAAACGAAGCGGAAGGUGGUACUUCGGCGUUUUCUGGUGGUCUUUCAAGACAAGUCCAUCAAGAAAACGAUCAAACAAGGGCCCAAUGAUUGACCUAAAACCACUUGAUGUUCUCGAGAGUCUCUCUAAUACUGUUUAUCUUGACUGUUUAUUUGUUACUAUUGUCUGAAAUCUUUUAAUGGUUUUUGCAGCUGGAUGCUCAUUUUGUGGAAUGUAUGCAGCACGGAGAUUAUGGUAAUGAAAGGUAUUAUAUACUCAAAGAAGCCAAGUAUAACAAAGGCAGUCAAGUCGUCAUCAUUGCCUUACCCGCUUAUUCCCUUCUUAACGAGCUUCUACGCUAUAUCAAAUCCAGUUCACCGGUUUGUUGCUCUGUACCUUGCAAUAUGGUUACACGAACCGUAUCUUUAGAGAUUCUCUGAAUCAUAAAUGUUGUUCGUUUUCAUGAAGAUGACAGUGUAAGGGAGAUAACUACAAAUAAUCUUCCCAAAAAACCAUCUUUGAUUGGUUUUUGAAUCCGUUUCUUAUCAUUAAAUACCAGGCUGAAGCAGAAGAGUAUCUUGCAAAGUUGGUAUUGCUGUUUGGAGAUUAAGAGAGACUUAAAAGCUCUAAUUCCCUUCAUUUGAAAGGAACUAAGAAAAGCUGAGCUUCACAACUAAGCUCGCAGGUAAGCAUAUAAUAAAAACUUCACAUGUAAAUGAAUGUCGUUUCGCUUUAACAUGUGUUCGGUUUUGUUUCAAAGGCUUCAAGGAUGCCCAAAUCAAUAUCAAGAUAUCCAACAUUCAGAAGACAUUUUAACCACAUGGAACUUUGGAAAAACUUUAAGUUAUGUUUGGGUGCCGUAGGUUGUAUGUAUAUAUGAUAUGGGUUUUAUUCGAAAUAGAUAUUUUUGCAAGUUGGUAUCUAAUGUAUGAUGGCUUUGGUGGAAAUAGGAUUCUUGCAGGUUGCUUAUUAUUGUCAUGAUACAAUCCAUUUGGCUUUGGCCGAAGAAAUCCAACGUCUUAAAGAAUAAUUUAUAAAAUAAUGUAGACGGGUACGUUGUGGGAUAUUGAAGAUGUGCCUUAGAGAAUAUGUAACUGAUAUUUUUUGUCACUUUAGCGUUAAUACUAUUUUUAAAACCAUUAAUGUUAAUAUAUUCUGUAUUUAAUAAUGUAAAUGGAUAGUUUUUUUGUUUUAGUUAAAUCUAUACCACUCCGAUAGAAAACUAAUUAAUUUUGUUUAUAAUCUUCACUUAGAAAACAUACUUCCUCUGUUUCUUAAAAAAAUGUCAUUUAGAAUUUUAUUUUCGUGCCGUUUAGUAUUUUCAAUGCGGAAUUUUAAAUAAAUUUUCAUUUUUAACUUCAUUUUUAGUGAAUUAAUUAAAAGGCAAAAAUUUUAGUGUGUGAACAAAGAAUAAAAUAGAAUUUUAAGUGAUUUCUUAAUGCGUGAAUUUUUUUUCAGUGACACUUUUAUUAAAUACAAGAAGUAUAUUUAUUGUUUACAAAGUUUUAUCUAUGAUGAAAAAAAAAAUUACUAUUUAAAUGGACAGAUAUAUAGAAAUUUCAUAUAAAUGCUAAUCUGUAAGUACAAAAGCACUUACCAAUUUCUUAACAUUUUUCAAAUGUUUUUACGAAUCUUUGACUACAAAAAUAAACAAACAAUUAGUUACGUUAUCAUAAAUAAAGACACUGUCCUUAUAGCAAAUUAAAUUUAAACUUCUGCGUAUGGCCAUACAGUGUUACGAUUUACACAUAGCUCGACAACUUCACAUUCACUGACAAUGAUCUAAUAAAAACAGAUGACACCAUCACUGGGAAAAUCAGACACCCCCACCCUCGCCGUAUAUUCAUAAAUUGAUAUGAUUAACAAAUUUUAAAUUAACACAGAGGCCGAACAUGAACGAAAACCAACCAAAGUUUUUUUUUGCUGAAACCAACCAAAGUUUCCCCUCAUCAGCCUGUAAAUUAUUACAAAGUCAACAAAAACUUCAACAAAUCCACAAAUCCACUUGAAAUCUGACCUACAACAUCAUCAUCGCAGUUAGAUCACCUCAGAUAACAAAAAAAAAAUCUUGAAUGCCCCACCAAUUUUUCCUCAAACGAAUAAAUAAUUCCAAAACAAUAACCUAACAACAUUCAAAUCUCCUAGUAGAAGCUCACUUAAAACAUUCCUCAACCAGUAGAAAGGGAAGCAUGGAAACCAAUUAUCAGAAAGCAUCUAAAGAGUUCAGUUCUAAAAACUCAUUUCCUGCAACUGCGAUUUAAAAAAAAAAUUAUUUUAAGGGUUUCAACUUCAACACCAGCUCCUACCAUCCCAGUUCAUUACUAUAAUAAAAAGUUCAAAUCAUAACUGACUAGAAACACUUAUUAAACAUAUAAUCAACAAAUUCAUUCCAACAUCCUUAAUCAAUAGCCCAUCAUAUAAUCUCAGCUCAUCAACUUCCAACACCACAGUGGAAGAACUCAAUUAUUGGACCACAACAUGAAAACUCUAACCACCACACUAAGCACAUAUAUAAGCCAUUCGUAACUCUUUACAAAACAACCUAAGUUCAGAAGUGGCAAUCGAUAAUGGAAUAAACGCGCCAUCGUUGACCUUAAAAACCUAAUAAGUAUAUAUAAUUUUGACAUUAUCCUUAUCAAUGGCCAUGUUAGCCAUUGCCACACUAGCACCUCUCCGUACUUGUCUUUAAAACACUAGCUCCUCUCUUUCUUUCAAAUAUUGCUAAAAUAUAUUCUUCAAAGGUUUAAUUUCCAAUUUUAACAAAAUUUCAAACAUUAUCGUAAAUUUUGUAGAAAGAAUAUGAAGAAACAACACACAAACACGUACAAAAAACAAUUCACCAAAACAAACCUCCCCCGAGCCCUAUUGUUUACAAACAACAUUAGGCUACAAGUUCUCAACAUCCUUAUACUAUGCAGAAUAUUAAAAAUUGGCAAAUAUCAUAGCCAAAUAUUGUUUCACUAUUAGGAAAUAUCAGAGUUUUUGCUUAGUAUUUUCUACAAUUUCAUAGUAACAUUCCCCCUUCUUUCAUCAAUCCCCUCUCUAUGACCUUAAAGACAACCCUAAGCCAAAACAUUUACUAUGUUACACCCACUAUAUUUACGAUACACACAUUACAUAAAACUUUACACUAGCAUGCCAAACACAUAAAAUACAACCAUAUUAAAAGCUCUAUAUCUAUUGACAAUGAAAAUUAUCCAACAAAAUCAUAAAUUUUAAACCAAACAAUCCGCGUGAAACGCGGACAAACCACUAGUAUCUAAAGAAGAUUGAGUUUUGAGGUGCAAAUGAAAUGUACUUUGGCCUUCCUUUUACAAUAUGUUAUAGGUUGCUGUUUCGGGUUAGUUUGGCUGGGGUCGGUCACUGAAAUAAAGUAAAAAAAUUCGGUUUGGUUUCAAAAAAUAUUGGUUCGUUUUUUUAAAAGCAAUUAUCGAAUUUUUGGGUUUUUUUGUACGGUUCGGUUUUUGGUUAAUUUUUGGUUAGUUUGGUUUCAAAACUUUUUAUUGAAGUUGGGUUUUUGGUUCGGUUCGGUUAAUUUCGGUUUAAAUUGGAUAAAAUUAAAAAAAUUUGAUUAUUUUAGUUUGGAUUUUGGUUUUUGAUUCAGAAUUUCGGUUAAGAGUACUGUUUCAAAACUUUGUUUUAGAAAACUGAACUAACCGAUUACCUAACAGAAUCAAAAGCCAAAAUAUUUUUUGGUUGCCAAACUGAACCGAACUUGCAAACCGAAGAAAAUCUAACUUUUCGGUCGGUUUAUACCCGCAGGCACUUUUCGGUCGGUUUAUACCCGCAGGCCUAAUUAUGUUAUCUGGCAGGUGAAAUUUGAAAAGAAGCCGGCUUUGCACAAAGCCAACAAGUUCACACUGAAAAAGUGUCUCAAGAGAGACUGUGAGGCGAACUACAGAUAAGAUGGCUUCAGAUAAAGUUGAUUUGGGAUCUCAGACUGAUUCUUAGUCUCCUAGAAAAAGAGAAGUUGCUGUUGUCAGGAGUUCAUAGCGAGAUUAAGGAGUUUUUUUUUCUAAUGGUAAUAAAAUUUAAAAUUAGAAGGUGACAACACCAAACGAAAAACCAACAAGUAAAAAAAAAACGAAGAAACACAACAUUAGAAACAGCCACAGAGUGCUCUACUGCUCUUCAGGUAUGCCAUGACCUGUCCCAUCUCCUUCACUUUCACGUGCCACCACCGAGUGCUCUACUGCUCUGUGGGUAGUAAGAGAUGUCAUGAGCUGCUCCUGCAGUUCAAAAGACUUCCCUAUCCGGAUCAAGCCGUACCCCAUUUCACACGAAACGGUCUGCUUCUCCGGUGGAUUCUCCAGCUCGGCCACCCUCAGUUGCAAAGCUCGCAUAUAUUUCAGCCACUUCGGGACGGAGUAACCUACCACCAUUGUUUCCGCCUCUGGAAAAACCUGGCCGCAGUCUGCUAUCGUCACAGGCUGGAGAGGGUAUCCAUUGGUGCCACCAACCAUCUGCUCAACGCGACUGAUCACAUCAACUCCAUCCACAACUUCUCCGAACACCACCUGCUCGCCGUCUAAAUCAGGGGACGCCCUCAUGAGGAUCAUGAACUGAGAUUCGUAGUAGUCGUAGGUGGUGCUUUCAUCGUUCCUAGUCAUUGAGAGGAUGAUGCCUUUGCCGUCGUGCUUCCUUUUGUAGUUGUUGUCCGCCAAAGGUUGGCCGUAGAUGGAUUCGCCUCCUCCUCCACACCCGUGAGUGGUAUCUCCUCCGUACCAAAUGAAGUUUGGGGUCAUGCCGUGGAUGAUGGUUCCCUUGUAGUGGAGCGGUAUGCCGGACUCCCCUAUGCCUUUCUCGCCUGUGCAGAGAGCGCGGAAGUUCUCCGCCGUCUUCGGGUUCGUGUCGGCGAAGAGCUCUAUCACGAUCCGACCAACGGGUCUGAAGUUGACGGCGAUUUCGAGGAAGACUCUAGGGUUUGUCGACAUCGGGAGUUGAUCACUCAUUUAGGGUUUGCUACGAUGCGAGGAGUGAUCUUUUUUUGUAUAUUUUUUUUCGAUGAAGGAGUUACUUAUCAUAAAGUUCUUUCUUGAAGACAGUAACGUACCAAACAUGUCAUUCUUUGAUUCAAAACAAAUCCAUGCAUUGAUGGACAAGUUCUGAAAAAAAAAUUGAGGAGUAAAAGAAAAUCUACAAUACUAAAAGCCGAAUAAGGAGUGCAGCGAGCGUGCCACGUCAGCUUUUAUAUUCGGACUAAUCAGAAGCGUCGAAUCCGACACGUCAGACGGGCUCGCGGCUGUUUUGUCUGAAUUGUCGUUGGGCUUCUGUGGGCUUCAUCCUUAGUGGUUGCAAAGUGGGCUUCGUCACACUUUUAUGUCGAAACAUAAAAUACAAAAGAAACUUCGGCGUCUCCGUCGAAGCUUAUCGUCUCUGUCUCUUCAUCUUUUCAUCGCCUCUACCUUUUCGUUUUCUCCGAUCGAAGAGCGAGGAAGCCGAGAGUUAAUCGAGUUUUUACACAAUCAAUACUUCUUUUAUGAUUUCGUUUCACCUCCCCCUUUUCAUCCUUCUUUAUAUAUUGAUCUUUUUAUUUCAUAUAAACCAAAACCCUAGAACCAAUCAAAACUCGAUCCAUGGCGAUGAAACGAAAUGGGAAGUCGCAUGUCUCCUCAGACUCUGAUGAACAAUUCAUGUCCUUCAAGGAUGUCUCUCUAGGUCCCCAUGAAGCUCAGCUACGCUUUCGACUCAUCCAUUUCUGGGAGGCUCGGAACCCGGUGAAGAAGACACUGAUUGGCCUCGAAAUGCUCCUUAUCGACGAACAGGUGCGUUGAUUUUUCAAUCAUAGUUUCCAGAUCGUGAGAUCUAUCUUUCCGGAAAUUUUUGUCGUUUCUUUAAAGCUACGUUUACGAUGAUUGUUUUAGACUUAUACGCUUGGUUAGUUAGUUAAAGUAGUGUUUGUUUCGAUCUGUUAUGAUUCUGAGGUUUCAUUUUAGUCUUUUUCUUAUACGAUUGGUUAAUUAGUUAAAGUGGUGUUUUUUGGUUGUCUGUUUGUUUCGAAUCUGUUAUGAUUCUGAGGUUUCAUUUUAGCCGUUUUCUUAUACGAUUGUUUUUUUUUAAAGCUAGGUUCACGAUGAUUGUUCUAGACGUUUACUUAUACGCUUGGUUAGUUAGUUAAAGUAGUGUUUGUUUCGAAUCUGUUAUGAUUCUGAGGUUUCAUUUUAGACGUUUUCUUAUACGAUUGGUUAAUUAGUUAAAGUGGUGUUUUUUUGGUUGUCUAUUCUAAUUCUGAUGUCACAUUUUCACUCCGUGAUUUGUUAUUUCAGGGAACUGUUAUUCAAGGAUUUAUCCCACCUGGACGAAUUAAGAAGUACCUGCCUGAUAUGAAACGUGGAUCGGUUUACAAACUCAUCAACUUCUACGGAUCGAAAAACAAACCGGUGUAUCGGGUUGCUGAUCAUCUCGCAACCGUGUCUUUCACAUGGAAUUCUGAAAUGUCGGCUCUUCACGAGAUUCCCAUCUCGAUUGAUGAAGACCGUUUCAGGUUUCAUUCACACGAAGAUUUUGAAACUAACUGUGAUCUCAAAGGUGACCUCUACGGUAAGCAUAAUAAUUUUAUAAAUCAUGUGUCAAUUGCAUUGCUUUGUAUAGUCUUUAGUCUAUUCUAUUGCUUGGUUAACGAAAUUUAGAUUUUUUGGUUUGUACAGUUUUGUUAGCCGUCUAACUGAGACUCUUGAUGAAAAAUGUUACAGAUGUUGUAGGCCAUAUGAAGCUGGUCGAUGGACAGACCCUGAUUGAGCGUCCCAUCAUUGACGAUGUGAAGAUCGCUACCACUCGGCACAUCAUGAUUCAUGUGCAAUCACAUGAGUAAGUGUGUACUUUUAUUUCAAGUCACCAUCUCUCUGUAGUUCGUAAAUCCCUAAGAGUUUAUUUUUGCUGUGGGCCUGUGAUGAAACUCUACCUUUGGGACCAGGCUGCAACAGACUUCAUCAAGAAAUUCAACUCCUGUGAAAACACUCCCACGGUGCUUUUGGUCACAACCGUUAAAACCAAGCGUCUCGGAGGUAAUUAUUUAACUUUUAGACUCAUGUUUUCAGUGAUUAAGUGAUAUGAGCUUAUUAACAAUCCUAUAACAUUUUCUUCUUUGUCAUUAGUUUCUAAUUUCACUCAUUCAUUUAUCUCUUUAUAUUUAUGUUUGCACUGAUAUGAAUUAACCGUUUCUAAACGUUUUCUUCUUUAUCAUUAGUUGUUAAUUUUCACUAAAUCCUUUUAAUGAUUCUUCCAUGACUGAACAGGUACCCUUGCCCUGACGUCUAUGUCCUCUACAUGGGUUUUCAUGGACAAUGAUGUCCAACCAACCAGGAAUUAUUUAACAUGGUAUGUAUCCCGUCUUCAGCAUAUGUUCUAUACAGUUUCAAGUGACGCAUACACUUACGCUUAUAUAGUAGUAAAUGACUGAAGCUCUGUUUUAUGUUUUGUUUCAGGCUGGGCUCUAACCCAGAGAUUGCUAAUCAGGUUAGCGCAGACGUCAUCACUAAGCGUGAGACACUGACUAUAGCAGAUAUAUUCUCCUACAUGAGUCAGGAAUCUGCAAAGGUAUAAGUGAAGCUAAAUUACUUAACUCAUUUUAAAACGCUAAUAUAUUUUAAUCACAUGCUUAUAAACUGUGGCAGGAUGCCUUUUUUGAGUGCACGGCUACGAUUGAUGAUGUUGUGCAUGGCUCUUCUUGGUACUAUAUUGGAUGCAGUGAGUGCCAUUCUAAGGUUACCAAAGGCACAAAUUCGUUGAUUUGUACAAACGCAAAAUGUGCAAAGGUUAACACAACUGGUGUUGCACAGUAUGAUUUCUCUCCUUAGUCUUCAUUUAUGGCGUUUGGUUUUUGUUUAUUACAUUUGUGACGUUGGUUUCUGAUUCUUUCACAACAGGUACCGUGCAAAGAUUUCUGUUUAUGACAACACUGAACAAGCUUUUUUCGUCUUACUUGGAGACGCUGGGCGUGAGUUGACUGGGAGGCAUGCAUCCGAAUUAGUUAGCAACUACUUUGAGGUAACUGAGCAUCAGUUUAUGAUCUCAAAUGUUUUUUCCUUAUUUUGUUGCUGAUCUCUCACGUGACUUAACUGACACUAUUACAAUUGAAUGUAAGGCUAAUAAAAGCGAAGGAGCUGACCAUGAGGUACCUAUCCCGGAAGCUCUGAUCAGCAUCAUCGGACAGACACAUAAGUUCUGUGUGAAAGUUACAGAUCACAACUUCUCAGGCAAUACACGAGCCGUAACUGUCACCAAGAUCCUCCCUCUAGACACACCACCACCUACGGAAGCCUCAGUUGGAAAUGACAUUGGUGCAACGUCCGAGGAAGCAAAGCAUUCUGGAAACGACGUCUGUGAACCCCCUACAAGCCGUGGAGAUCCUGCAGAUGAGGAUAGCAAGCGGACGUGUGGCAGUGCUGACCCAGGGACAGCUAAACGCCCAAGAUGUGGGAAUUAGAACUUGGGUUCAUUGGUGUUUAAGUCUACGCUUUACAGUUCAAGGAUCGUUUUUUUUUAAAAAAAUUUGCUGCAGUUUAAGUACUUUUUGGGUUUUUUUCAAAGACAAUGCAUUGUUUGUUUUCAUUUAAAGACUGUCUUUAAAUCAUUUGAGCUAUCUUUUUUAUAAUCUCUGUUGAUUCUUAUAGUCUAUGUUGUCUUUCUUUAUAUCUGAGCAAAAUCUAGAAAAUGUAUAGAGUUUUCUGUAUCUUUUUAAAUCAAUUAUACCAUGAUUACUUAUCAAAAUUCCAUAUAAUGAAUCGAGAACACCUUCAAGAUAUUUAGACUCUUUUAAUAAGAUUGAAUCAUUCACGGUUGUCUAAUAAUUAAGAUAUUUAGACUCAUGUAACUUUAGGAAAUGUGUAUCAUUCACGGGUGUGUAACAAAAUUUUCUUUUCUCUAGAGACAAAUAAACCACUUAACCUAGCUAAUCUUCAACGCCUCAUUCAAGUCCAAGUCAUAUUCUGAUCUGUUUUCAGUGGGAAAUUUUUAGUUAUUUCUAGAGCUUAUCACAGAACAAAUCUCUUUUUAACUUUUUAUGGCUUUUCCUGUUUGAAUCAAAAAGUAAACACAUUUAUCUAAUUGAUAAUAGGUUGGCUGAAAGGAUUGCUGUUUCAACGGAAUGGAUAACCCACCCAAUAAUCAACCCAUAGAAACUGCAGGUAAUUAUAUAAUCUACUGCCUCUGUUUCUCAGGGAAAACACAGAUAUGAAGGAUCGAGUCAUUUUUUGGGUUUUUUUUUAGGAGUUUAAGUUUCUUUUUGGUCAAUGAAUUGGAAUAUCAAAUCCGAUCAAACCACAAUUUAGUUUCAGUUACGGGACUUUGCCAAAAAAUUAUAUCAUUGUUUUUAUGAUAUAUUUAAUUAUAUACAUUUUUUUUUACAAUUUUAUCAUUGUUUUUUCUAUAAUCUUUAUUUCUCUAUAAAAUCUAAAACUCCACUCCUGUUUUACAAACUUUGCAAAACAAUUUAAAUAUAGUGAGAAUAAAUUAAAAAGACAUAAUCCGCACGUAUUGCGGACAAUUUAUUAUCAUUCCAUUUUGUAUAAAAUUUUACAAAGAAGAUUUAAUUUCUUUCUGAUCACGAGAUCAUAUAUGUACAAUAUUAUUUCUAUAUUUUCCUGUAAUUAUAAAAUAUCAUAGACAAUUACAUAUAUAUGAAAAAAUAAAAAACAUUUCAGUAAUACUAAUUAUACGUUUGUUUUGGUAGCAUUAAUCUGUGAGGGAAAACAUAUUUUAACUGUCCGGCUAUUAUGUUCCGUAUGACCCAAAAUGAUAAUUUUGAAAAUACAUCCCUGUGUGUAAUAAUUAUAGUUGAAAAUUCAUGUCCAUUUUUAAUAAAGCUGAUGAUUUACUAUAAUUCCAAUAAAACACACAAAAAAAUUCUAAUAGUUUUAAAUAUGCAUAUAUUUUUGUAUAAUUAUAGACCAAUUUUAUAGAAUAUACCAUUUUUAUAUUUUUAAUAAACCAGUUCCAGCAUAUAUUAUAUUUGUUCAUUUUUAAAAUAAAAACACACAAAUUCAAUUAAUAUUAUAGGAAAAAAUCUGGGCGUAGCCCGGAAAACCCUCUAGUUCAUUUUAAUGAAGUAAAAUGAGGAAAGAAAACUGCUAGACUUGGCUAUAUUUCAUACGUUAACCAGAUUAAAAGAAAGCAAAAAAAGAUGGUGCUGCCCAGGAUCGAACUGGAGACCUUUUGCGUGUAAGGCAAACGUGAUAACCACUACACCACAGCACCUUAUUGAUUGUGAUAGUGUGUUUGUAAUCCAAAUAGUAAAUGUAAGGUUAAUUGCGAAUUUAUAUUCAGGGAGGAGAACAUAAGGAAAAUUGGAAAAAAAAAAUCAGAGAAAAAAAGAAAAAAUUACUUUAUAUUCAAAUAUCUGGGCAUAGAUAAAUAUAGAAGUAUCUUAAUUGUGAAUCUAAUCUAUAUUCAGGUCGCAGGGAGAGUGUGAAAAGGGGAAAGCCGAGAAACACGUAAAAUACGAAAUGACAGUAGAGGGAGAGAUUCGCUGUCCACGGAUACGACAGCGUUUCAAGGAAUAUUCAUUUAUUUCCAGCCAGAUGAUUCUACUUUACAAUUGACCGAAUUACCCAUCACUCCGACAGUUAAUUGCGAAAUCGCAGCCUUAACUGGACCGAACCACCACGCAGCCAUCUUCCCCCUUUUGUCCGAACGUGCCGCUUAUCUCUCUCCCACGAGAGUGUGUCACACAAUCGAACAUUUUUAUUUCUUUUUAAAAAAAUUUCGAUUUUUGAAGUAUUGCAAGAAAAGAAUCGUAUAAUUCUACUUCCUUGGCUUUUGAGAUUCACAAACACGCUUACGCAAAUUCGAUAUACACCAAGGACGAAGGAGCAUACUUUAUAAAGUUGAGGAUCCAGAUCGUGGAGAGAGUUAGAGAUAGAGAGAGGAUACGAUGCCGCCGGAAACAUCGCCGGCCAAACUCGGCAGAGCUUCUUCCUCCUCCUCUUCAUCGUCAUCUUCAAGCUCAGACCGUGCUUCCGUCAAAAUCGAGGAGAUUGAAGACGGAGGUAGUAGCGGCGUCGUCGUCAUCAAUGGCUCUGAAGUAGUGGAGACCAAACUAGAGUCUGCUGUCGCCGACAACACUCUGGCUGAAUCUUCAGGUAUCUCAGUUAGCUGAUUGAACCCAAGGCAGAGUUGGAUAGGCUUAAAGUUUAUCCUUUCUCUGGAUCCAAUCCAUUUUUGGAUGGUUUUGAUUUGUUCGGGUCCUAGUCAGCGAAUAGGACCUAAAAGGAACGAUUUUUUAGACUCUAGGCGGUCAAUGGCCCAGUGGUCUCGACGGAGCUUCGGUCCGUAUUGGGACCGGCUCUCCCCUGACACUGGGGCAAAAUUUAACAUCUGGACUUCCCCAGCGUCUGUUGACUGCUACAGACACUCGCUGCUGCUAGUGUGGAACCACUUCGGUGGGACCAGGAUACACCGGGUUAUUCAAAAAAACAAAAACAAAAAUGGCCCUAGACGUCCGCACUUACGUGGUUUUGAUGAUUUGGGGUUUGUGGGUUUUUUUUUUCAGGUGGUGGGAGUAAAAGCUUUGCUAGAGUAUGGACAAUGCCUGUGGAAGGUUCUUCGAGUAGCGAUAAAGCUGAAUCAUCAUCAUCAGCGUCAAAGCCUAGGUUAGACAAAUCAAAGAGUGAGAGGCAACAGCAGAAAGAGAAAGUCGCUCACAUUCUCGCCGAGGACGCCGCUAAGAUCUUCGAUGACAGACUCUCUGCAGGGAAGAAGGUACAAAACAUUCUAUUCUUGGGUUGUAAAUCUUCUAUUUUUAGUAGUGAAAGUCUUUUUUUUUUUUUCUUUAAAUGUCUUAUUUUGUUUUUUUGGCAGCUGAAAUUGUUGAACCGUAUAGCUACGGUGAAACAUGAUGGGACUGUUGAGUUUGAAGUCCCGGCAGAUGUUAUCCCACAGCCUAUUGCUGUUGACCGUGAAGAAGAUUCCAAAAACGGUGUUUGUCCUGAUGAGUCUAUCGAUGGGGUGGAUCUUCAGUAUAUCCCUCCUAUGCAGAUUGUGAUGCUUAUCGUUGGAACGCGUGGUGAUGUUCAGCCUUUUGUUGCGAUUGCCAAACGCCUUCAGGUUUGGCACAUAUCUUAUUAAUUUUAUAUUUUGAAAUUUUUUUUGGUGUUGUAGUAUAUUUCUCUUCAUUCUUCUCUCUUUCUUGUUCAUAAUUAAUGUAGAAAUUUUAUUUGAUACAGGACUAUGGGCAUAGAGUUAGACUUGCAACUCAUGCGAAUUUCAAAGAGUUUGUUUUGACUGCUGGUUUGGAGUUUUAUCCUUUAGGUGGAGAUCCAAAAGUGCUAGCUGAAUGUAUGUAUUAACCAAACAUUCCCAUUCUUCUCUUCUUCGUUGUUACUUUAAUCUAUGUGUAGCUUUAAAGGUUAUUAUUUAUUUAUUCAUUGGUUUGCUUGCUACGUUUGUGUACAGAUAUGGUUAAGAACAAGGGGUUUUUACCAUCAGGACCUUCAGAGAUUCCGGUUCAACGAAACCAAAUGAAGGAUAUCAUAAAUUCUCUGCUUCCAGCAUGUAAAGAACCUGAUCCAGAUUCUGGUAUCUCCUUUAAAGCCGACGCAAUUAUCGCCAAUCCUCCAGCAUAUGGUUAGUCUCAGUAGCUUUUGAAUUUGAAAUGUUUUGUUUUCCCUAGCUUCCUGAGUUAUCUCAGAGAUUCACUUUGAAUGGUAACUAACUUGAGAAUCGCUGUUGCAGGACAUACACACGUGGCAGAAGCACUGAGGAUACCUAUUCACGUGUUUUUCACCAUGCCUUGGACGUAAGUCUUGUAUUGACCGAAUGAAUGAAUGUUACUUUGAACUCUCUUUCGGUUCAUAACCAUUCACUAUCUUUCUGCUAUUAAACUAAUGAUACAGGCCAACCAGUGAGUUUCCACACCCUUUGUCACGUGUCAAGCAACCAGCAGGAUACAGAGUGAGACUUGUUUUACUCAGAUAUUGCUAUAAAACUUGACUUCUUCUUUUAACAUAAUGCAAUUUUCAGCUUUCGUAUCAAAUCGUGGAUUCAUUGAUCUGGCUUGGAAUAAGGGACAUGAUAAACGACCUUAGGAAAAAGAAACUGAAGCUAAGGCCCGUUACAUAUCUAAGUGGAACACAAAGCUCUGGCUCUAAUAUUCCAUAUGGAUAUAUGUGGAGUCCUCAUCUAGUCCCAAAGCCCAAAGGUAGUGUGUCUCCUAUGAACUCACUCAUGAAUGCUUUUCUUCACUUUUGAUAAAUAGAAAAUUUAGAUUCAAACUUUUCAAUUUAUUUUCAGACUGGGGCCCACAAAUAGAUGUAGUGGGAUUCUGCUUCCUUGAUCUUGCAUCAAACUAUGAACCUCCUGCAGAACUCGUGGAAUGGCUAGAAGCUGGUGACAAACCUAUUUACAUCGGCUUUGGUAGUCUCGUGAGUUUUUUUUUUUCUUGACCUGAAUAGUAUUUUCUUAGAGGAAAUUUGAAAAUAAUGUCUCUUACCGUUGUGUGUUUAUUAGCCUGUGCAAGAACCAGAGACAAUGACUGAAAUAAUUGUGGAAGCACUUCAAAGAACCAAACAGAGAGGAAUCAUCAACAAAGGCUGGGGUGGCCUUGGAAACUGUAGGGUCUACUCGUUCUUUGACAUUUCCUUUAUUGCAUACUUGCCUGUUUGGUAUAUUCAUCAUUAUACAUGUUUGAUGUGGCUCUCAUGCAGUGAAAGAACCGAAGGACUUUGUUUACUUGUUGGAUAAUGUCCCUCAUGAUUGGUUAUUCCCAAGAUGCAAGGCAGUGGUAUGUCUACAAUAAUCUUGAACAUCCUCUUGCUUUGUCUAGUCCCUUAUUUGAUGUUUAGCAUUGUGUGUUCCCUUUUGUUUUGAAAUUUGUUGUUCUUCUGCUUUCAGGUUCAUCAUGGAGGUGCUGGAACAACGGCUGCAGGUCUUAAAGCAGCGGUAAGUUUAUUUUUGAUUGUAAGCUAUAAAAAAUUCUGCUUCAUGAGAUGGGACUUUAGUAGUUAAUAUGGAAGUGUCUUGCCUUUUUUCUUAAACAACACAGUGCCCAACUACAAUAGUGCCUUUCUUUGGAGACCAACCUUUCUGGGGAGAAAGAGUGCACGCUAGAGGAGUAGGUCCUGCACCAAUCCCAGUAGACGAAUUCUCACUCCAUAAGCUUGAAGAUGCCAUUAAUUUCAUGCUUGACGAUAAGGUAAGAUAGUGGACUUUAGUAGUUUAUAUGCACAUCCCAGGAUAUGAUCAUGGUAAUGCCAUUGUGGUUUACAAUUGAAACUGAGCAUGUGUAUAAUUGGGAACAGGUGAAGAGCAGUGCAGAGACACUAGCAAAGGCGAUGAAGGACGAGGAUGGUGUGGCUGGAGCUGUGAAGGCCUUCUUCAAACAUCUUCCGAGUAUGAGACAGAAUGUUUCGGAUCCUAUCCCUGAACCAUCGAGCUUCCUAUCGUUUAGAAGAUGCUUUGGCUGUUCGUAACUUUCUCCUCAUUGACUCUUGUGCAUUGUUGUGACCUCUUGUUGUAUGUUUGUUUGUAUUUUUCAUGUUCCUUGGUUUUGGUUCUACAACUCACUCAGGGAUAAGUUGUGAAAAAUACUUGGGAAUUUUAAUGUUUAGUUGAUGCAUAUAAAUUUUUGAUUUGUCAUAAAGUGGAAAACAAAGAUGUGUUCUAAUUUUAAAUAUCAUAUGGCAUUUUGUUUCAGUGUCUUGAGAUGCAACUUCUGUGGAAGGGUGUGCAGAAACAACUCAACUCAAUGAUUGUCUGCUUAUCAAACCAUGAUUAGUUAAUUAUUGCAUAAUUAUAAACCAUUAUUAGCAGUUAAAAAUUGUGAUUACCUUUGUAAUGACCAUAAGGUACUACAAUGCUCACAUGGGGAAAAGUCAAUACGCUGCACUAAGGAGGAAAAGUUAUCCAGACACUAUGAGACCUACUAUUUUAAUUAGCUGUCUUAUAUGAUUAUAAUUAUAAAUUUGUAUUUUUCCUUUCAUUGUCUCUAACAAAUUAUUUAUCCAAUAAGUUUGCUAGAGAAAAAGAGAGAUGAGGCAUACCAAUCACAUGACAUGAUACUGUUGUUGGCCAACUCAUUAUUGGCAUCUCACUAAACACUUACAUUUGUGCCAAGUACACAUACACAUGUGUUUCCAAUUUCUAUAAGAAUAAAAAUGCUUUUAGAAAUCUAAUCCAUUUCCCAUCCUUAUAUUGUCAUUUUAAUACAUUAUUAUAGCCUCUAUAUCAAUUGUAAUAGUAUAUUUUGAGAAAAAAACUACUAUAUGUUUGAAAGCUUUAUAACUACACACAUAUAUAUAUAUAUAUAUAUAUGAUAUGCCAGUCUUUUUUUUUUUUUGGUAAAAAUGUUAAGUCCAGUCUUUUUUUUUUUUGCUUAUGAUUCACAAUCUUUGUAAUUCAAGUAUAUACAGAACUAAAAGAAAACGUACGAGAAAGGGAAUAACAUCGGUGUAUUGAAAAACCAUAGGUAGAUAGCAAUAUAGGAUAUAAUAUAUAACAUCGCUGUAUAUAAAACUAUAUACCUAUUUUAUAUGGUUUACUAGUAUUAGAUAUUUUCUUUAUUGAUUCUAUAUUUUAUUGUUCUUUUCCAAUGAAUUUACCAAUAAGCUAAUGGUGAUAGGCUACGCAGCCUUCUUAUAUAAUAACUUCUCUCUCGUAGCCUUUCUUCUACGCUUCUUCUCUUAUUCCUUUUCCUUUCUUUUUAUCUCGAGAAAAACUCUGCUUCGAGCAGAGAGAGACAACUAGACAAAACAGAGCAAGAAGAACACAGUCAUAACAAUGGCUGUCACAAAACUUAUCCUCUUUGCUUCUGCAUUACUUGUAACAACGCUGUUUGUCGGCGUUAAUUCAUCCAGGUAUCACUUAUUAAUAACAUCAUCAUAUUUGUUUUUAUUUGUAUACAUUGACGUUUUUUUAGCUUAACUUUUUACGUAUUAUAUAGUUCAUGGAACCAAUCAACUAAGCUUAGUUACAUGAUUCAUCAACGGUGAAAAGAAUGCCAGUUUUCUCUCAUAAAUAUAAAACUUACAGAAGUUCUAUAUCAGUGGCUGAUGAGAGUUUUUAAAACAAACAUAUAGAUCAUUUUCAUCACUAUGAUCGUAGUGUAUAUUGUAUAGUUAUUCCACUCCUAAAGAACAGGAAACUGUUAAUAAUUUAUAGUAUAAUUAUAUAUCAUUGUUAUAGAUGAGACUGUAAUUGUUAGAUUGUUUAUUAUAUGCUUUCCAGGUCGAAUGAAACAUGGCAUGAACAUGCAGUUGAGAAACCAGAGGAAGUAGCUGCCAUGGUGGACAUGUGAGUUUCUCUUUAAACAAAAUAUAUUCUACGAAUACAGAUCAUUUUCUAUAUAAAUGUGACCUUUUUCUUAUUCUCAUAAUCCUCACAUGCAAGUCCAUCGUGGAUUCGUCAUAAAAGGCAAUAAUGCUAAGAGUAUCUAAAUAUUAGAAAGAAGUAUGAUAUUUUAGGUGGUGAAUGAUGUUGUGUGUAUUAUUAUUGUAGCAUUGGUCCAGGCUCGCGAACAUGUGUAAUGUUUUUCAAUAUUAAUCUUUGCAACAAUGAUUGGCCAGACCCUUGCACAUGCUCAUGCCACAUGCAGUGACGCAUACACUUCAUGACAUGUGUUGUCUUUUUAACUUGGAUUUUUCUUGAAACCGAUAGAUAAACAGUACGAAAAGCUUAUUCACAUAUAUAAGAUUUUUUUUACCUGUUUUGAUUUUCAGUACAAUAAAACUUUUGGUCAACAAAGGUUAAGCAAUAAUAAUCAUAUAUAUAUCAUUGAGAAAUAUUACAAGCUAUGAGAUCAUUUAACCCCAACCAUGGUCCAUUGACCCAAACCCUUUCUUGGGUUUCCUACUUUAUGUGGAGUUGCCUCUUGUCUUUGGGGUUUUCUGUAGAGUUUGUAGUGACUGUUUUUAUGUUCUAAUAAAAAUACAUUUCACACUGGUAAAUCGAGUUUUUUAAGCAAAUCAUACUACAUAUUUGGAAACCCAAAUGUAGAAGCUUAUGUUUGAUAUCUCAAACACAUCAAUUAAACUAUGCAUAUCAUCAAAUUAUAUUUCUCCAUUUUAUUCUAUAAAAAUCACAGUGUUAGUUUAUUGAUAAAUAUUUGGUAUUUUCUUAUAUUAAUAAAUGUAUAUGAGCUUCCAAAAGAGCAAUUAAACUAUACUGCCUUCGUUUUUAUAGAUAGAUUUUUUUUUUAUGUUUUCACACAUAUCAAAAAACAUAUUAAAAAUUUAUUAUAAAUACAUAUUUUCUUAUAAUUUUCAGUUUUCAAAAAUAUCCAGCCAAUAGCAAUUAAAUAAUCUCAAUCAAUUUGUUAAAAUUUACAAUUUAUGCAUAAAAAUAGAAAAAAAAAUCUAAGUUUGUGAAACAAUAGUUUCUAAACAUCUAUAAAACAGAUAGAAUGUCUUCUUAUUCGAAGUAUACAUUACUAAUAGUAUAAAUUAUGAGUCCAAGAUUCAAUUUCUUAAACAAAGUGCAAUUUUGAAUUUUUUUAAUAAUUUUCGGUUAAUGUUUUUCUUUUACCUUUUUACCUAAUAAAGACAUUUUUAUUUUUACAGAGAAGUAUAAAUGUCUAGUGAUUAAUUAUCCAGUAAAAAAAAAUUCAAAAAUCUAUUUCACUAAUUCCACCACUUGCUGCUGAUCGUGAUCCACACAGGAGCAUUCGCAACAGCACGGAGCGGAGACGCUUAGGCUACUUCUCCUGCGCCACCGGCAACCCAAUCGACGACUGCUGGCGCUGCGACCGCAAAUGGCAGCUCCGCCGCAAACGCCUCGCCGACUGCUCGAUCGGAUUCGGCCGCAACGCGAUCGGCGGCCGCGACGGCCGCUACUACGUCGUAACCGACCCCGGCGACGACGAUCCCGUCACCCCCAGACCGGGAACGCUCCGCCACGCCGUGAUCCAGAACGAGCCGCUCUGGAUCGUCUUCAAGCGCGACAUGGUGAUCACCUUGAAGCAGGAGCUGAUCAUGAACAGCUUCAAGACCAUCGACGGCCGCGGCGUCAACGUCCACAUCGCAAACGGCGCGUGCCUCACGAUCCAGUACGUUACCAACAUUAUUGUGCAUGGGAUUCAUAUCCAUGACUGUAAGCCCACGGGGAACGCGAUGGUGAGAAGCUCUCCGUCGCAUUACGGGUGGAGAUCGAUAGCUGACGGUGACGCGAUCUCGAUCUUUGGGUCGAGUCAUAUCUGGAUUGAUCAUAACUCGCUCUCGAAUUGCGCUGAUGGGCUUGUGGAUGCUGUUAUGAGCUCCACUGCGAUUACAGUCUCUAACAACUUCUUCACUCACCACAAUGAGGUAUUAUAUAGAAAUUCUAUGAAUUAAUAAAUUUUUAACUAUUCUUGAGUUGGAUCGGUGUAAAAUAUAAAAUAAUGAAUUUCACUGUAAAUAUAAAUUAAUAAAUAAUAUAUAUAAUGUUUAUAGAAAUAUUAAUAAUAUAUUGUAUAAUUUGUUUUUUUUUUUUUAAAUAGUGACUAUCUUUAUAUUUUAUAAACAUUUCAAAAUAAUUUAUUUGUCAGUUUACACCUCAAAAUGCAUCUAAAUUUACGGUUAAUAUUUUUAGUACCAAAUAAUCAAAUAAUAACAACGUAAAUUUGUAUCUGUAAAUUUAAUCAAUAUAUGUAUGGUAAAGUCAAAUAUUCUUUUUAUUUCUACUUAAAACAUGUAUCAAAAUCUACAAAUCUAUAAAAUAACUUUUUGUUAAUUAUUAAGUAAUAAAAUAUUAUAUUUCUAAAGUUAUUAAUUUAAAGAGUUUUUACUCUCUAUAACUAAAGUUUCACAUUUUAUAGGGUUUAUUGGAAUUGAGAAUUAGGGGUUUAGUAACGGUUGCGUGUUGUUUAGGUUAUGUUGCUGGGGCAUAGUGAUUCAUACACAAGGGACAAAGUGAUGCAAGUUACAAUUGCUUACAACCAUUUUGGUGAGGGUCUUAUCCAGAGAAUGCCAAGGUACAGAACCUCAAGCUUUGCUAGUUAUAUGGUUUGAGAAGUUUUGUAGAUUCGAAAGACGAAUGAAGAAACAUAUAUGGUGUUUGCAGGUGUAGGCAUGGAUACUUCCAUGUAGUGAACAACGACUACACACAUUGGGAGAUGUAUGCCAUUGGUGGUAGUGCUGGUCCGACUAUUAACAGUCAGGGGAAUCGAUUUCUUGCCCCAACAAACCCAUUUGCUAAGGAGGUAUGUUUCGAUCUUUUUCAAGUGUGCUGAUGCCAAACCAUAUUGAUGGUGUGUAGUCUUCCCUCUCUUUUGUCAAGAGAAAGAGGUCUUAAUGUGUCAUUGAUCUUUCUAACAAGAUUUGAUUGCAAUGAGAUUGAUGAUUGGUGAAUGUGGCAGGUGACUAAGAGGGAGUACACAGGACAAUCAAAAUGGAAGCACUGGAAUUGGAGAUCAGAAGGAGAUCUUUUCUUAAACGGAGCAUUUUUCACACGGUCUGGAGCUGGAGCUGGAGCCGGCUACGCCAGAGCUUCGAGUUUGUCGGCCAAAUCAUCCUCACUCGUAGGCACCAUGACCUCUUACUCUGGUGCUCUUAACUGCAGAGCCGGUCGCAGGUGUUAAUAGAUCAAAUAAUCAGAAAAGCCAUUUUAUUGGUCUUGAAGAAACAAGUGAUCGAUAAGUUUUUACCGAAUGUCAGCCUCUCGUUUUCUUCUUUAUUUUAACUUUUGGGGUUCAUGCGAUAUAACACUUCCCUAUUGGAUGCGGAGGCCUAGUUUAAACGCCCUCAAGUGUAAUAUAAAGCUGUAUGAAUAUUCUUCUUGUCACCUACGUUGAUAUAAAGUUGUUUCCUUAGUCGUUUAUCUUGCUUCUAGUGGUCUUAAAACACUAAAUGAAAGCUUAGUACUUGGUGGGGUUACUUCCAAAGGAAUCAAUAGUGAAAUGGUGUGAUUGGAUAAGUGAGUAAAGGAAGUGAAUGUGGUAGGGACAUGUGGAACUUAAGAAGGAAACAUGGAAGAGACAAUAAGCACAUGAGAUUGCAUAUCAUGACUCAUGAGGAGAAGGAUGCAAGUGUGCUUUAAAGAAGAAGAAGGGUCUCUUUUUUCGAGUCAUGUGAUGUUUGGUUUGGCCAACGAACAUGUUACUGUUUCUCCUCCUUUACCACUCGGUUCGUUUAAUAAGACAAAUCAAAUUAGUUCAAAUGGGGUAGUAAUGUAAUGAAGGAGAAGCAGUAACAAUGUAACAUGAUGUUGACCAAGCAUAUGACUAUUCAUUUAACCAGAGUAGUGUAUGCCACUAUACACAAUACAUGCUAAAUCGCAUUAACAAGAACGGUUAUCAAGAAUGAUAAAAAAAACGAUCAAAACUGUAUUAAAAAUUCAUAAAAUUCAUUGACUAAUGUUUUUUAUUUAUUUCAAAAACAUUUAGACAUGCAAUAAUGUUUAGUGAUGGAGCUUAUUACAGCAUCCGCAACGGGGGACGUCGAGAGUCCUUAGCGUCCUAACCUAGGCAAACUAGAUUAUAAUAAUAUUAUUUAAGCUAAAUAACAUAAGGAUCAAUCCGUAAAUAAGGAUUUACCGGACUUGAUCCUUAGAGACGUGCCAUGAUUUGAUUCGUUUGGUCGGCUUUUGCGUUUGGUAUUGGAAAAAAAAAGAAAUCAUUUUCGACGGAAGACGCAGAAAAAAAGAGAGCUCUCGACGAAAGGCGAUUCGAUCUGUCGGAACACGAAGGUAAAUCAAAGCCUUCUCAUGGAGUUUUUUUGGAUUUAGAUUAGGUUCAAUGUUGUAUUUCUCUCAAUUUAGGGUUGGGUUCUCGGUUUUCAAACGAUUUGGGGAUUUUUCCGUAUGAAGUUAGGGUUUCAAAUGAUUUGGGUUUUCAAUUGAUUUGGAGAUCUUUUCGUCUGUAGUUAGGGUUUAUACACGAUUUUGAUUUGAAACAAUUUGGGGAGCUUCUCUUUUGUUUUACCGUCGAUUAUUACAACCGAGUUACAAUCGAGUUUUACAAUCUUCUCGUUUGUUCUUAAUCUUUGGUCAUGUUUUGUUCUGACGGUUCUAACUCGAUCCCUCUGUUUUGUUCAAUCGAUGCUCGUUGCUGUUUAUAACUUCCCUUUGAUAAUCUUCUCGUUUGUUCUUAAUCCCUUUGCUCGUUGCUUUUUAUAAUCUUCUCGUUUAUAAUGUUCUUUGAUUGUUGUUGGUUAAAUGUAUUUUUCGCUUACAUAUCUUCUUCGCUUUAUCUAAUCUUCGCUUACACAAUUGCUUUCAGGUUAACGAAGCAUGGGACAAAAUUAUUCGUACAGCCAGCCUUCUUCAUCAGACGAGUUCGACAUAACUUCCCUUCUUCAAGCAGAAGCUGAACUGUACGCGGAUGAAGCUGAGAGUAGCUACAAUAUGGCAGGACCGUUUCAGUACCCACCUCAACCUGAGGCUGAUGAUGGAAUCUCAAUAAUAUGUUUGGCAUUUGGAAUGAUGUUCGGGAUAGGCGUAUACAUCAACAUUUGAAAAAUGAUUUAAUUGAACAUAUUUAGAACUAAUUUGGUGAUGAAGAUUAAUAAUUAUUGUAUCUUUAUGUUUAAUUAUUGUAUCUUUAUAUUUAAUCAUGCAAUAAAUAAAAAUUAAAUUUCACUUAAAAAAAAUUAUUUUUUUAUUCCUAAAGACUCCAAAUUGGGGAACACCAUUGGACACACUAUUUUGAUUAGAGUUCUUGACUAUUCAAACAAAAACAAAAAAAAAUACUAUAAUAGGACUCCAAGAAGGAGUCCACCAUCUCACGAUCAUCUUCUUCCCCGUCAGCAUGUAUCAAUCAGAGGAGAUAUUUAAAUCCUUAGCAUGCAAUUAUCAUGGUUCUGAAAAAGAAACUAAUGUGACUGAAACUAACAAUCGAACACAUUUGCCUCCAGACAUUUCUCCCUAACGCGAUAACCGUACAUAUAUGGUCCAGAGGACCAGAGCAGUUUACUUCAAUAUAUAAAUAAAACUGUAUGAGACAAAUCAGCAAUGACCUUUAGAUUUUCUUUUUGACUUUUCAGACCCUAAUAUGUAUAUUUGGAUGUGUAGGUUUUUGUUGGCAAAGGGUGGAUUAUGCGAUAUUGCGAUGUGUCUUAUAUAUAAACCAUUAUCCUCAACUAUUACUGCUAAUGAAAUGAGAAUUUGGUUUUUGAGCAAAACAAAGCGGUUAACUGAAGAAUGCAUGAAGACAACUUAACAGUGGUUUUUAAUAUCAAAGUCAAGUAUAUGAUGAUAGUAUUCAAAUGAUGUUGAUUUCCAUUAAAAAAAAAACAAAUCAAAUUUGUCAAAUAUCAAAAACUCAGAUGAAUGUAGAUAUGUUCUAAUCGCAGAGAUUUAUUGAUUGUUAUUGAUGAUUUUCAAUACAUUUAAUGGUCACAACAACACUGAUUCGGAUUUUCCCAGCCAACACAUUGGCCAGAUUGGUAUCCCAUCCUGAUGCAAGCAGUCGCACAGUCAAAAAUCAUUCCACACCGUCCAAUGCAUUGUCCGUCGGCUUCAACUUUUUCUACAUUUCACCCAAACCAAAAUAAAUAAAAAGAGUACUGAGAGAUAAGUAUAUAACAAGGAGUAUAAUAUUUUGCAUAGUUUGCUAUUAAAUAGAUAUCAUGAGAUCUGCAACUCAUAUACGGAAUAACCUGGAACCGUGAGAAAUAUGAUGAGUACUGAAGCAAUCAUUAGGAAGCUCAUGAAUCCAAUCUUGCAAUUCGUCUUCAUUGUAUUGUAAAUAUAUUACCUCCUUUUAUCAAUUCAGUAUAUCACCUUUGCUUUAUUGAGUAUUGAACUUGUAUAUACAAUUGAUUGGGUUGCUCUGUUCUUAUAUGUACAGAGUUGAAGGCAAGAAAGGGAAGACAAUAUUACAGGAAUAAUUACAGGGAAUAUAGACGUUGGUAGAGGAUCAAGAUUAUAUAUUUUCCAUACUCUUACAUGAUUUAUAUCUUUGAGUUUCUUUUAUUGGUUUUUAAGAUUCAAAAACAGAAUCUCAUUUUAGUUUAGCCAUCAUUAUAAGAAGAGAAAAAAAAGAAAUCAGGUUUGUAUUAGCUAUUAGUUACUAUUGGCGGAUACAAUUCAAAUAUUUUGUUCCUAAUCUAGCUCGAUAUUUGCGUUAGUCAUAUUUAUUUUAUAUAUUUUGUUAUAAAUCUGAUUUGUAUCGGUUUUUAUUGAUUUACACCUUUCUAAAUUUUGUUUCAAACAUUUUGUUCUCAAUCUAGGGAUAUUUGCGUUAUGCAUUAUAUUUAUAUACUAGUUUAAGAUCCGCGCCUUGCGCGAGAUGAAUAUUUUAUAUACACAUUAUUUUUACGUAUUAUUAUUUAUUUAACAUUUUUUAUAUAUUAUGAAACAAAUUAAUAAAUGUAUAUUGAAUAAUUGAAAAACUAUUAACUGUUAUGUGUAUAAUUAAAUUGAGACAAAUGCAUAAAUUAAAGAAAUUAUUAUUUUUUAUUUACAGUCAUACAUUUAAGCAAUUAUUUUCUCUAUUUUGUAUUUUAUGUAAUUAAAUUAAAAUAAUAUUAACAUAGAUAUAUAGUAUAUUUUCAUAUGACUAUAUAUUAAAUGAAAAUUACUAAUCAUAUGAUUUUAUGAGCAUUUUUAUUUUUUAACAAAAUUUUAAACGAUUAAUAACAAAACUUUUAGUGUGGGACUUUUAAUAUUUUUUAAUAAUUUAUAAUCAUUCUUGAAAAUUAAAUUCAAAUUUCAAAAUUAAAAUACUAAGUUCUCAAUUUAAAGUUUUAAACCAUUGAUCACAAAAUUUUCAAUGUGAAACUUUCAACAGUUUUCGUAAUUUAUAGUCGUUUUUAAUAAUUCAAAAUAUAACAAUAUACAAAAAAAACUAAAAUUUUAUUAUAUGGUUAAUAUGAUUAUUUAAUUUAUUUUGAUAAUAUAACAUUAAACAAAAAUAAUUGAGGAUAUGUAAAUUGUCAUCAAAUCUUUAUUAUUAAAAUCAUUAAUUGUCAAAUAUAUAUUCUAUUUAAUUCCGUAACUUUUAUUUAAGGAAAGAAUAAAAAAUAUUAAUUGUAAAUUGUCAAUUAAUUUAUGGUUCAUUUAAUUUUUUUGGCAUCGUUUUUUCUGUCUGGUUUAUUAUGCUAUUACAAAUGAGAAACAUUACAUAGACGAUAUUACAGCCGACAAUUCUACCUGCCUUAUGAGAAUUCACGCCUGACUGCAUCACCCUGAGUAACCCUAUGAGAUCCAUUCCUGACGGUACUCCUUGAUCCAUUUAAUUUUUUUGGCAUCGUUUAUGGUUAGUUUAAUAAAAAAUAUAUAAUAUAAGUUUAGUGGAUCAACAUAUUUCUCUAGAGAUUUUAAGAAGCAUUCUAGUGAUGACACAUGUGAUAGCUAAAAUGUUGUAAUGCUUAUCUUUUAAUAUAUAGGGGAUAUAUUUUAUAUCGGAUUUGUAUUAAUUUAUUUUGACCGACACAUUUCAAAAUAAUUAUUUCCAAUCUAAAUAGAUCUUUGAUCGCCUCAAUCUAUUAUACGUUACUUGAUAAGUUUAAAUUUAAAGAAACCUUAAUUUUAACUAGAACUUGAUGCGUGCAUCCGUGUGAAUGUUUAAUUUAAUUUGUAUUCAACAUAAACUCAUAAACCGCUGGUUUUAUAAAAAAUUCUCAUGUAUAUUUUUUUAUGUUUUGUAAUUUACAUAUAGAGUAGAAUAUAUUAUUUUAUAAUAUAUAUGUUUGAUAAUAAGUUUUUAUUUGAUGCAAUUUGAUGUAAUAUAGGAAAGGAUAUCUCCCUUUAAUACAUGCAAAAAUAUUGAAUGGUCAAUAUAUGAAUAUCGAUUUGGUUAGAUAAGUUUCAGAAUUGUAACUAAUUAAUUUUAGUGCAAAAAAAUAUAAAAAGAAAUAUUUAAUUUAUUGUACAUGCAAUCGCUGAAUGUGUAAAUAAAAGUAAGUAUUAAAAAUAUUUUUAUUCAUGUUUUCAAACACUUCUCACUUUUACUGUUAUUUAUGUUUAUAAAAAGUACCAAAAUGUACUUUAGUUUAAUAAUAUAGAUGAAUUAUGCUGAAACUUCAUGCCACUAAAAAGUAUUGGAAAAAAAAUCCAUUUUUUUCUAAAUCAUUUAAGGGUCUUAAAGUUUAAUUAUACACGCACAAUCUACUACAUACUUUUAUAGUUAUUAUAUUUCAACAAAUUGUAUGCAUUAUAUAUAUUUAAGUUAGGAUUAUUUUAUUUAUAAAAUGAACAUUUAUUUGUAUAAUAAAUAACAAGGAAGAGUUGAUAAGUUUAAAUUAUAUAUAAUAGAUAUAAUAUUUGAUAACUUUCAUCUAUUUUACACUACUUGAUAAGUUUAAAUUUAAAGAAACAUUUAGUUUAAUUAUAUUGAAACUUAAUGCCACUAAAAAAAUAUUUGCACACCCAAUUAUUUACCUAAAUCACAUAAGGGUCUUAAAGGUUAUUUACACAAGCAAUCUAUUAAAUUCUACAUACUUUUAUGUUGAUGAUUAUUAUAUACAAAAUUUAAGUUAAUAUUAUUUUUAUAAAAUGAACAUUUAUUUAUAUAAUAGAUCACAAAAUUAAGUUCUUCAUUUUCCACAAUUUUGUCAAUUUAUUGAUAUAUUUAUAUUUUGAUAAGUAAUAAAUUUUUAUUUUUAUUUCUUUUUUUUAGAAAUUACUGUAUUUUGGCUCAAUGAACUGUUUAUUUUUUUUUUCAUUUUUUUGAAAAUAUAUUUUUAUUUAUCUUUUUAUAUAAUAUGUUUUUCAGAAUAUUUCCUUUGUUUUUGCUAAAACUAUUUUUAAUAUAUACCUUAAAUUAUUUCUAGAUUCACUUUAAAAAUAUUGCUAUCACCAAGAUGUAUAUUGCUAAUUAAAUUUGUCAUGGAAGACUGUAAGCUGGUGCUUGGUGUGCUUCCUAUUUGGGCCGCCGCUGCUAGUAUGCACAUUGUUACUUGAGUUUCUUCAGAAUAUCUUUGAGAUUUUAGCUUUGAGAAGAGUAGGUGCUGAAACGGUUAACAUUUCCAAAAACACUUAAUAAAGUUCUUUAAGUGUUUGUGGUUAUUUAGAAGCGUAGAUGGCCUAGGUUUUAUCACCAUGACUAGUGCCAAAAUAAAGCGAAAUGCUAGAGAAGUAUACAUAAUGAAAUUAUGAGUUUUGUACAAGUUGAGCGCCAGGAGGGGUUAGAGAACUAUGCAUAAUGAAGUUAUGAAUUUUGACACAAGUUGAGUUUAAGGAGAGCUGCGCAUUGCCCAACUAUGAAUUGGCAGAAAAUAAUCCACCUUCCGUUUAGGUAUUGGAGGACUGACAUCAUUUUUGAGAUGAAAAAAAAAUACGAGAUAUAAUAAGAAAAAAAAACAAGCUAAAUUUCUCUCAGUAAUUAGAACUUAGAAGGUAAAGUUUAAUGAUCUACACAUGGAUGCGAUGCGAGCUCCAUAUUUAUAGUUAGAAAAGCUAAUACUACAAUUUUUUUGUAAGAAAACUUUCCUAAUAACUUGUUUAUAGUUAGAAAGCUCCUUAUUUAUAGUUAGAAGGCUCCAUAUUAAUGUUGCAUGCACGCAAUUAAAAUAAUACGCGCAACGGAUUUGAAAACACACUAGAGUUUGCUAUAUCUUGCAAGCGUUAGCAUAUGUAGGCAGUGGCUAAACUUUAACUUAAAUGUGUUCAUAAUUUCAUAUACAUAUUACAUAUCAAAGUGGGUAAAGUAAGGGUACAUUCCAAUAUUUGAAUAGGGUCCAUUGAAACUUAAAGCCUCCCUGCCUGCAUGCAUGACUUCGAGGAAGUUUUGGAUUCGGCGGGAACAAGAAACGAUAUUUAAACCUGAAUUUUGGAAAUAUGAAAUACAGAAAAAUCGUAACUUGAGGCCAAGAUGGCCCAAUAGCUGCCCAUUAGAAUGCUUACAAACAUUUCAUCAAAAAAGAAUUACUAAACGCCAGUUGUGCGUCCCUCCUCAAGACACUAGGGGAAAACCCAAUGAACCAGGAGCACAAAGUGGCUCGUUAGGUGUCUGGGUCGAUAGGGGCACCGGUUCUAGCCUGUGAGAUCCUGUUUGCUUAGAUGGUCACUAGGCGAAGUGUUGAACCUGUGUACUGUUUAGACCUUCCAAAUACGGCAAGAAUGCUUUCCCAAUCAUUAUAUAUAUGUCUACUAGACAGAACACCACUGUCUGCAACAACAACAACACCAAAAAAACACACGAGAAUAAGUUACUGGUCGCAAAGUCAAAAGUUUCUUUAAAGCUAUCUUUAAAUUCCCGAUUUGAUUUUUACCUUUCGGACAUCUGCGCUUUGGUUCCCAAAUGCUUCAAAAACCGCAUGCAUGGAGAAUGCAUGAAGCCAACUUAACUUUGGUUUUAAAUAUCAAAUUAAAGUAGUAUAUGAUAAUAUUUAAAUGAUGUUGGUUUCCAUUAAAAAAAAUCAAAUUUGUCAAAUGCCAACAACUCAGUCGCUUAUAGAUAUAUAUUCUAAUAGCAGAAAUUUAUUAAUUGUUAUAGAUGAUUAUCAGUGCAUUCAGAUAUGAAACAUUUAAUGGUCACAACAGCAUUGAUCCGGAUUUUCCCAGCCAACGCAUUGGCCAGAUUGGUAUCCCAUCCUGAUGCAAGCAGUCGGACAGUCAAAAAUCAUUCCACACAGUCCAAUGCAUUGUGGCUCGGCUUCAACUUUUUCUACAUUUCACCGAAACCAAAAUAAAGAAAAGAGUAUUGAGAUAUUAGUAUAUAAUGUGUAUAAUAUAGAGAUACAAAAUAGUAUAUAAUGUGUAUGAUACUUUGCAUAGUUUGCUAUUAAAUAGAUAUGAUGAGAUCUGCAAUCAUAUACGGAAUACCUGGAACCACGAGAAAUAUGAUGAGUACUGAAGCAAUCAUUAGGAAGCUCAUGAAUCCAAUCUUGCAAUUUAUCUUCAUGGUAUUGUAACUAUAUUACCUCUUUUUCUUAUCAAUUCAAUAUAUCACCUUUGGCCCUUUGCUUUAUUAUAUCUUUGAGUUUCUUUUAUCGAUUUUAAGAUUCAAACAGAAUCUGAUUUUAGUUUAACCAUUAUAAGAAGGAAAAGAAAAACAAAAUCAGAUUUUUAUUAGACUAUUAGUUACUAUUGGCGGAUUUUGUUCCUAAUCUAUAUGGAUAUUUGCGUUAUUCAUAUUAUUCCUAAUCUGAUUUGUAUCAAUUUUUAUCUGCACAUUUCUAAAUUUCGUUUCAAAUAUUUUGUUCUCAAUCUAGAGAUAUUUUCGUUAUUCAUUAUAUUUUUAUAUAUUAUUUUCUUUUUUUAUAUCUGCUUUGUAUUGAUUUUCAUUUGACUGACAUAUUUCAAAAUAGUUAUUUCCAAUCUAAAGAGAUCUUUGAUCCCCUCAAUCUAUUAUACAUUACUUGAUAAGUUUAAAUCUAAAGAAACCUUUAUUUCAAAAAUUUCUGUUUUAUUCAUUUUUAUACAAAAUAUGUUUUUCUGAAUAUUUUCUUUGUUUUUGCUAUAACUAUUUUUUUUUUAAUAUAUCCAUUGUAGAUAACUAUCACUAUGACUAGUAUGCACAUUGCUACUUGAGUUUCUCAGGAACUAUCUUUGAGAUUUUAGCUUUGAGAAGAGUAGAUUACCAGACGGUUAACAUUGCUACUUGAGUUUCUCAGCUACUUGAGUUCUUUAAGUGUUUGUGGUUACUUAGAAGCGUAGAUGGCCUAGGUUUUAUCACCAUGACUAGCUACAGAAUAAGGGAAGGUUUAAUGAAAUUAUGAAUUUUGCACUAGUUGAAUGCAAGGAGAGAGGUACGAACAGGCAUAGUAUAAACUGGCAAAAUAGAUACCAUUAAGAGAUUGGAGGUCUGACAAAAAAUUUGUUGACAUAAUAUUUUUGAGAUGAAAAAAAAAUACGAGGAUAAUAAGAAAAAAACAAGCUAAGUUGCUCUCAGUAAUUAGAAAGUAAAGUUUAGUGAUCUAAAAAAUAAGCUAGUUGCUCUCAGUAAUUAGAAAGUAAAGUUUAGUGAUAAAAACAAAAGCUAAAGUUGCUCUGUUCGAACAUUUUAUUUUUAUUUUUAUUUUAAAUCAAUAAUAUGGAAAUAUUGUUUUAAUGCAUAGUUGCAUCUUUUACUAACAUCGAUGAAGGUCAAAGAGGUUUGAAACCUCUGUUGUCUCUGUUUUUCUAGAGAAUAACGAUUUAAUAGUGGUUAGACCACCAAUUUAGGGAGUAUUAUGAAGUUUUACUAAAUUAAUUGACAAAAAAUUAAAUUGAUGCCAAGUACCAUAAAAAAUAGUUUAAUAUACAUUACUAUACAAAUGUAGAAUGUCUUUAGAAAUUUUAAAACAACACUAAAGAUCAUAGGCUUCAGAAUAUAGAACAUUUACCGAAAAACUCAAUACUUUCGUAGGGUUUAACACAUACAUUUUGAUAAAAAUUCAAAAUAUAAAAAUAAUGUUUUAAUGCAUAGUUGCAUCUUUCAAUAACAUAUGAUGAAAGUCAAAGAGGUUUGGAACUUUGGUUGUUUCCGUUUCUCUAGAAAAUAACGAUUUUAUAGUGGUUAGUCCAUCAAUUUAGGGAGUAUUAUGAAGUUUUACUAAAUUAAUUGACAAAAAAAUUAAAACGCUGCCCAUGUACCAUAAAAGAGAGUUGAAUAUAUAUUACAACAAAUGUAGAAUGUGUUUAUAAAUUUUAAAACAACUCUAAAGAUCAUAGGCUUCAGUAUAUAGAGCAUUCACCGAAAAAUUCAAUAUUUUCGUAGGGGUUAACACAUAGAUUUUUAGAAAAUUUCAAAAAUAUGUAAAUACUGUCUUAAUGCGUAGUUGCAUCUUUCGCUAACAUAUAUGAUGAAGGUCAAAGAGGUUUGGAACCUUCGUUGUCUCUGUUUUUCUAGAGAAUAGCGUUUUAUAGUGGUUGUUCACCAAUUUAGUGAGUAUUAUGAAGUUUUAAUAAAUUAAUUGACAAAAAAUUAAAACCUUUCGUAGGGUUUAACACAUACAUUUUGAUAAAAAUUCAAAAUAUAAAAAUAAUGUUUUAAUGCAUAGUUGCAUCUUUCAAUAACAUAUGAUGAAAGUCAAAGAGGUUUGGAACUUUGGUUGUUUCCGUUUCUCUAGAAAAUAACGAUUUUAUAGUGGUUAGUCCAUCAAUUUAGGGAGUAUUAUGAAGUUUUACUAAAUUAAUUGACAAAAAAAUUAAAACGCUGCCCAUGUACCAUAAAAGAGAGUUGAAUAUAUAUUACAACAAAUGUAGAAUGUGUUUAUAAAUUUUAAAACAACUCUAAAGAUCAUAGGCUUCAGUAUAUAGAGCAUUCACCGAAAAAUUCAAUAUUUUCGUAGGGGUUAACACAUAGAUUUUUAGAAAAUUUCAAAAAUAUGUAAAUACUGUCUUAAUGCGUAGUUGCAUCUUUCGCUAACAUAUAUGAUGAAGGUCAAAGAGGUUUGGAACCUUCGUUGUCUCUGUUUUUCUAGAGAAUAGCGUUUUAUAGUGGUUGUUCACCAAUUUAGUGAGUAUUAUGAAGUUUUAAUAAAUUAAUUGACAAAAAAUUAAAACGAUGCUCAUGUACCAUGAAAGAGAGUUUAAUAUACAUUAAUAUAAAUGUAGAAUGUGUUUAAAUUUUUUUAAAACAACACUAAAAAUCAUAUACUUUAGUAUAUAGAGUAUUUACCAAAAAUUCAAAUUUUUUGUAGGGGUUACACAUAGAUUUUGAGAAAAAAAAUUCAAAAUUAUAAAAAUAUUGUUUUAAUGCAUAGUUGCAUCCUUCACUAACAUAUGAUGAAAGUCAAAGAGGUUUACAACCUUUGUUGUCUCCGUUUUUCUAGAGAAUACCGGUUUUAUAGUGGUUAGUCCACCAAUUUAUGGAGUAUUAUGAAAUUUUACUAAAUUAAUUGACAAAAAAUUUAAAACGAUGCCCAUGUCCCAUGAAAGAGAGUUGAGUAUACAUUAAUAAAAAUGUAGAAUGUGUUUAGAAAUUUUAAAACAACACUAAAGAUCAUAGGCUUCAGUAUAUUGAGCAUUUAACAAACAAGAAAAGGGUUUAGGUAGGAUAGUGCGAUGUAGUCCAAUGGCUAAAGCUCUGCCCGCUUCUUGUAGAUUUUCAGAAAAUUUCAAAGACAUGAAAAUACUGUUUUAAUGCAUAUUUGCAUCAUUCACUAACAUAUGAUGAAGGUCAAAGAGGUUUGGAACCGUCGUUGUCUCCGUUUUUCUAGAGAAUAGCGAUUUUAUAGUGGUUACUUCACCAAUUUAGUGAGUGUUAUGAAGUUUUACUAAAUUAAUUGACAAAAACUUAAAACGAUGUCCAUGUACCAUGAAAGAGAAUUUAUAAUACAUUAAUACAAAUAUAGAAUGUGUUUAGAAAUUUUAAAACAACACUAAAGAUCAUAGGCUUCAGUAUAUAGAGCAUUUACCGAAGAAUUCAACAUUUUCGUAUGGGGGUUAACACAUAGAUUUUGAGAAAAAAAUUCAAAAAUAUGAAAAUACUGUUUUAAUGCAUAGUUGUAUCCAUCACUAACAUAUGAUGAAGUUCAAAGAGGUUUAGAACAUUUGUUGUCUCCAUUUUUCUAGAGAAUAGCGGCUUUAUAUUGGUUAGUCCACCAAUUUAGGCAGUAUUAUGAAGUUUUACUAAAUUAAUUGAUAAAAAAUUAAAACGAUGCCCAUCUCCCAUGAAAGAAACUUUAAUAUACAUUAAUACAAAUAUAGAAUGUCUUUAAAUUUUUUAAAACAACACUAAAGAUCAUAGGCUUCCGAAUAUAUAGCAUUUACCGAAAAAUUCAACAUUCAUAGAUUUUGAGAAAAAAUCAAAAAUAUGAAAAUAAUGUUUUAAUGCAUAGUUGCAUCCUUCACUAACAUAUGAUGAAGUUCAAAGAGGUUUAGAACUUUUAUUGUCUCCGUUUUUCUAGAGAAUAGCGACUUUAUAGUGGUUAGUCCAACAGUUUAGGGAGUAUUAUGAAGUUUUACUAAAUUAAUUGACAAAAACUUAAAACGAUGCCCAUGUACCAUGAAAGAGAGUUUAAUAUACGUUAAUACAAAUGUAGAAUAUGUUUAGAAAUUUUAAAACAACACUAAAGAUCAUAGCCUUCAGUAUAUAGAAUAAUUACCAAAAAAUUCAAUAUUUUGGUAGGGUUAACACAUAGAUUUUGAGAAAAUUUCAAAAAAUAUGAAAAUACUGUUUUAAUGCAUAGUUGCAUCUUUCACUUACAUAUGAUGAAGGUCAAAGAGGUUUUGAACUUUUGUUGUGUCCGUUUCUCUAGAAAAUAACGAUUUUAUAGUGGUUAGUCCACCAAUUUUGGAAGUACUAUGAAGUUUUACUAAAUUAAGUGACAAAAAAUGAAAAUGAUGCCCAUGUACCACAAAAGAGAGUUUAAUAUACAUGAAUACAAAUAUAGAGUGUGUUUAGAAAUUUUUUAAGAAAACAUUAAAGAUCAUAGGCUUCGUUAUAUAGAGCAUUUACCAAAAAUUUAAUAUUUUCGUAAGGAUAACACACAGAUUUUGAGAAAAAUUCAAAAAUAUGAAAAUACUGAUUUAAUACAUAGUUACAUCCUUCACUAAAAUAUAAUGAAGGUUAAAGAGGUUUGGAACUUUUGGAACUUUUGUUGUCUCCGUUUCUCUAGAAAAUAACGAUUUUAUAGUGGUUAGUCCACCAAUUUAGGAAGUAUUACAAAGUUUUACUAAAUUAAUUGACAAAAAAUUAAAACGAUGCCCAUGUACCAUAAAUGUGAGUCUAAUAUACAUUAAUACAAAUGAAGAAUGUGUUUAGAAAUUUUAAAACAACACUAAAGAUUAUAGGCUUCAGUAUAUAGAGCAUUUACCGAAAAAUUCAAUAUUUUCGUAGGGGUUAACACAUAGAUUUUGAGAAAAAUUCAAAAAUAUGAAAAUAUUAUUUUAAUGCAUAGUUGCAUCAUUCACUAACAUAUGAUGAAGGUCAAAGAGGUUUCUCCGUUUUUCUAGAGAAUAGCGAUUUUAUAGUGGUUAGUCCAACAAUUUAAGGAGUAUUAUGAAGUUUUACUAAAUUAAUUGACAAAAAAUUUAAACGAUGCCCAUUUACCAUAAAAGAGAGUUUAAUAUACAUUAAUACAAAUGUAGAAUAUGUUUAGAAAUUUUUAAAACAACAAUAAAGAUCAUAGGCUUCAGUAUAUAGAGCAUUUACCGAAAAGUUCAAUAUUUUCGUAGGGUUAACACAUAGAUUUUGAAAACAAUUAAAAAAAAUAGGUAUAAAUUUUUAAUAAUAUGUUGUCAUAAUUAUAAUGAUUUUACUGUAACAAAAAUAAGAAUUAUGGAAAAUUUAUUUAUAAAACAGAUACAAAGAAACUGAAUGAAUCAAAUAUAGUACUUUAAACUAUAUUUAUAUGUGUUGGUAUAUAUCUUAAUUUCUAAAUACAAGAAAUAUUGUUAUACCGUGACCAACUUUUUAGUUUGAAUUUUACCAAAAAAAACUUUUUAGUUUGAAUACAACUACCUCACAAGCCAUUCAUAAAUAUGUUUAUAUAGUAUUUCGUUAAAAUAAUAAUAUAUUCUGAUUAAUAAUUAUAAAAUUACUAUUUAUUAAUAAAUAAUUUUAAAUUAAAUUAUUUUGACCCAUGCAUAGCAUGGGAGUAACACUAGUUUUAGCUAAAUCGAAAGCAACGGUGGUGGGUCAGGAUAUAGUAAUUAAGACCGACCCAAACCGGUGGUUUGAACAUUGAAUUUGCUAAUUCGAAUUUUCUGAUUUGAACCGGGUCUUUUUUUAAGUUUACGCAAAAAAGGGGAAAGCAAACUUAAUUUAACCACAAGUGUACGAAGAAUUUUGCGUGAUACUUUCCAAAUUUGUGUUAUUUUUAUUUCCCUUAACAUUAAUGUAAAUCUGCAAAUUUUCAAAAGUUUCACAUUAUCUAGUAGCAUCUACCGCAACAAAGGAAAGAAAAUCUGUGAAUAUAUAUAUUUAAUUCGUUUCACCAAAAAAUGGAAAUUUUUUAAGUCGGUCGACCUUAUAUAAAUCUUCAUAAGUUGUCCCACUUUAUUCUUGACCCUAUCAAAAAAAAAGUUAGAAGAAGAAAGAUGGUUGCAUACAUCAAAAAUAACGUUUUUUUAGUUUUUAUGAUUGUUUUGCUUCGUGUUGUUUCAUCAUAUGCAAGACUUAGUAUGAUGGUUACAAAAGGUGAGAUCGAGUCCAUUUGCAAUAAAAAAGAUGUCGAUUCUACACUCUGUUUUGAGGUUCUAAAACCAAAUCCUACAAUUGCAAAGUUGGAUUUUACUGGUCUCGCCAACUUUAUGAUCAAUUAUACGUCUCGAAACGUUUCGGAUGUAUUGAAGGAAAUAAAGUUGUAUGAAGGCAACACGACGGAUUUACAGACAAAUAUGCGAAGAGAUGUAUAACCUUUCUCUUAUUUGGGAUGAUCAUGCUCUGAAAGCUUUGGGAGCCAAGGAUUACGACAGCGUAAACUUUAAUGUCGGAGGUACAUUGGGCAACAUGAUUACGUGCAAUGAGGAAUUAUCAACAAUGGAGCCAGUACCACAAUCCUUGAUCGCAAAGAAUACUGUUAUAAAAAAUCUGUCUAAUAUUGUUUUAACGAUUCUGGAAUGUUUCAUAAGAAAGGGAAGCAUCUAUUGUAGUCAUUAGCCCAACUAAUGAAGUUGUUUGGUUUUUAAGUUUUUUUUUCAUUCAAGUUGUUUUUCUUAGCUUGUUAUGCUUUAAUCUUUAUUUAUCUACUAGGUUAAGAAUAUUAUAUAUAAAUUAUUUUCAAGUAUUAUAUAUUUUUUACAUAUUAUGAAAUAAUAAAUAUAUAUUGAAUAAUUAAAAAUUUAGUAACUAUUACGUCUAUAAUUAAAUUGGUACAAAUACUUAAAUAAAUUUUAUUUAUCCAGACAAAUAUUUUUUGUAUUUUAUAUAUUAUAAAAUUAAGUUUAAAUGAUAUUAACAUAGAUAUAUAGUAUAUUUUUAAUAUUGAUAUCUGUUAAAAAUAUUUUAUACUCAUAUUAUUUUUGAUCGCUUAUUUCUUUAUAACAAAAUUUUUAAAUCAAUGAUAACAAUAAAAAAUUUAUGAGAUGUUUAAUAGUUUUAGUAAUUUAUAAUUUUAAGAACAUUCAAUGCAUAGUUUAAAAUCUAAAUAUUAAAUUGUCAAUAAUUGUUCAAAAUGUUUAUCAAAAAGUUUCAAAUCAAAUUCGAAAUUAAAAUACUUAUGUAUUUUAUAUGGUAUAUAAUUUAUUUUUAAAAAAUAUUAAUAUGCAUAUAUAUAAUAUUUAUUAAAUAAGACUUCCUAGUUCCUACUUAUGUAAUUUUGUAAUAAUUUUUAUCUUGUUAUAAGAUAAAUUUUAAACCAUGGAUCACAAAAAUUUCAGUGUGAGAUUUUUAACAACUUUAGUCAUUUAUAUUUGUUUUUUAAAAUUCAAAAUAUAACAUAUACGAAAAAAUCUAAAUUUUUAUUAUAUAGUUAAUGUUGUUGUUUAAUUUAUUUUAAAAUGAAUUAAAAAUGAUAGAGAAUAGACUAAUUUUUAUCAAACCUUUAUUAUUCAAAAUCAUUAAUUGUCAUAUAUACUUUAGUCACAUUAGGUAAUUCCGUGAUUUUUAUAUAAGGAAACAAUGAAGAACAUUUAUGAUUAAUUUAUGGUUUGUUUAAUAAAAAGUUUAUUAUAUAUUUAUAUGGAUCAACAUAUUUUUUUAAAGGAUUAUAAGAAUGAUUGUGGUGAUGACAUGUGGUUACAAAAAUAUGUUAUAAUGUUUCUCCUAUAUAUAGGGGAUUAGCGGUGGUUAAAAAAUUGUUAAAAGGAAAUUCAUCUUAUUAUUAAUCAUAUGCUUAUGGUUUACUCUUUUAAAUAUACUAUUCAUUAUAACAAAAAUACGUAAUUAGUACGAAUGUUGGCUCCAUAUUUUAUUAAAUAAAUUUCAUCCAUAUAGACACUAUAUAAACAAAUUAUAUGACUCUUUUUAAAAAGUCAGAAUAAUAAUAUUAAUAAUAUUACGUUAAUUUACAGAAAAAAAUGAUUGACUAAAAGAAAAAAUAAAGAAAAUUAAUUUAAAAUUAACGUAAAAUAGGGAAGAUCAAAGUGAUAAGACAGAGAAGCGUGGCAUAGAAUCAGUGGCUCAAAUCUCACAAAAAUCUCCAACUCUCCUCCUUGGAUAAGAGAAGUAUCCAGAAGCCUUUCACUUCCACUGAUCCAUCCUUCUAAUAUUCCCAAAACCAUCUCACAAAACUCACUCCUCAACUCUCUCUCUCUCUCUCUCAUCUCCAAGCCCCUCCGACCAAUGGCGGCGACAAUGGCAACAUCAGCCACAUGCAUGUCCUUAAACCCAUCUCCUCCUAAGUCCCCAAACCAAACCAAACCCAUCUCCUCAUCAAAACCCUUCAUCACCCUCCCAACACCACUAAAACCCACCGUCUCUCUCGCCGUCACAAGCACCGCCCUCGCCGGCGCCGUAUUCUCCACCCUCAGCUACUCCGAACCCGCCUUCGCUGCCCACCAGAUCGCCGAGCUCGCGGCAGCGGCCGCGGGAGGUAGCGACAACCGAGGACU